Molecule: long non-coding RNA, 73988 nt
Filed under: Populus tremula
Lineage: Eukaryota; Viridiplantae; Streptophyta; Magnoliopsida; Malpighiales; Salicaceae
Description: long non-coding RNA (PTRE_LNC003209)
Source: RNAcentral
AUGUUUGGGAUGUGAGAAAUCUUUUGCCAAUCUUCACCCAUCUCCUCCUUCCCGUAACGUUCCCUUAGAAUGGGGCACCAUCUUAUCUCCAAUUCCUGUAGAGGCGCUGCCAAAACAUAGUCUGGUAGUGCUCUCAACAACGGGCAAUUAACAAUCAUCAACUCUCGAAGUUGUGGCAUAAUGGAUAUUAUUGAAGUUGUGUUGGCAUCUUCUUCUCCCAAGGAUCUCCUUUCAAUUCCAUCCCACUCCUCUACUUCUGUGAGACCCUCCAUCGCAAGUUUUUUUAAUUUGGGGAAAGCAGUGACCCUUGCAAUUUCUCCUUCAUUAAUACUGGCAUUCUCAUCUUUUUCUAUACCUAAAAAUCCAGCAUCCAGCCUUCUCACCUUCAUCAAAAUCAAUACCAGGCUUUCAAGGUUGGGCAAUCUACCCAACGGAGGCAAGACCUCCAGGUUUUCACAAUAACGGAGUGUAAGCACCUGUAAUCUGGUUAAUGCCAUCAUCCAAUUUGGCAAAUCCAACCCUCCGUACCCAUAUAUGGUUAGAUUUUCCAAGUCUGACGGAGGCCGUAAAGCUUCAAAUAAAAUGCCGUCCUCCAGGUUGUGGUCGAAAACCAAUUCCAAACGAAGCAGGCGCUUCUUAUUCUUGAGUUGUGCUUCUGCAGCGUCCCUCGCAUCUUCUUUACCUCCUCCUAGAUUCCCUAUCUGAAGACUCCCUCCAAUGUGAUUUAAGUUUUUUAAUUCUCUUAGAUUAGCUGCUUUACUUUCAUUCUCACCACCACCACACACAAAAAACUGGUCUAAUGUUCGAAGACAUGUUAUCCUCUCUAUUCCCUUUGGUAUGAAGGCCACACCUGAACCAUAAAUCCGGAGAUGCCUCAAUUUGAUAAGUUUUCCAAUCGCCCGAGGUAAUUCGUUGAGAUAACAACACUGAGUAACGUCUAGGGAUUGCAGAUUGCAUAAAUCACAAAUGGUUUCUGGCAGGGACUCCAACAUUCCACAAAAUGCCAAAUUGAGGUGUCUCAAAUGUAUCAAUUUCCCUACCUGAUUUGGUAUUUCUCUGAUAGAAGACUCUGACAAAUUCAAUGACCUGAUGCAUGUCAACUGCUUGAAUAAAUCAGGUAGUGCAGCUCCAAGCGAAGAGUCUCCAGUGUGGAUCAAGAGGCUGCGAAGACCUUUUGCUUUGUGAAUGGACUUGGGAAAAGAGGUCACCGCUAAAUGACGAACCCUUUCAAUUGAAGUCUUCACUGUUAGACAUUCAUUUUUUGUCAUAUAUUGGGCAAAAUCAUGCACUAUAUCAUGCAUCUUGAAUCUCAUUCCUUCACGAUCACUCUUCUCAAAAUCUUGGAAGAAAGAGCGCGUUGCUAAGACUUGAAAGUACUGCUCUCCUACAAGCUCCAUAUCUCCACCUGAAGUCUCCUUGAGGUAACCUUGAGCCAUCCACAUCUUCACCAAUUCAUCUUUGUCCAUCUCGUAGUCUUUUGGAAACAUGGCACAAUACAAGAAACAUCGUCUUACCACAGAAGGUAAAUCGUAGUAACUCAAAAGCAAAGGUGGAAAUAGUCCUCUUUCAACAUGUUCUAGCUCCCACAGUUCGCUAGAUAAAACAUGUUCCCACUCUUCUCUUGUUCUUUUAGACUGCAUUAGACCUCCUAAUACCUUGGCAGCUAGAGGCAAGCCCUUGCACUUGCUUGCAAUUUUGUCGCCGAUUUCUGUCAAUCUUUCGCACUCAUCUUUGCUUCUUUUAUGGAAUGCCACCUGAUUGAAUAUUGACCUGCAUACCUCAUCAGACAAUUUCUCAAGGUUGAUCACGUGGUCAGUUCCUAUCAUGGUUGCCACAGAAUGUUUACGACUGGUCACUAGAAUUCUGCUUCCUGUUGCACCGCCUUUGAGAGAUAGUUUCAGUGGUUCCCAUUGUCUAUGAUUUUCUGUCCAGACAUCAUCUAGGACAAGAAGGAACCUCUUUCCCUUAAUUGAUUCAGAAACACUUUGCAAAAGGGAUUCCAAUUCAACUAAAUUCGGUGCACCCCCUUGAAGCGCCUCAAGGAUAGCUUUUGAUAUCCUAACCUCAUCGAAUGGAUCUGAUACACACACCCAUAUCUUUUUCUCAAAAUGAGCCGUAACCCGAGCAUCAUUAAAAGCUAGUUGGGCGAGAGUUGUCUUUCCAAUCCCGCCCAUUCCUACUAUAGAGAUCUCCACGUCCCCUGCUUCCUGAAUACUUUCGCCCAGCAACUUGCUUACUACAGCUUCCCUUUCAUCAUCUCGACCACGCACGAUUGAUUCAUCAACAAGGGAGGUACUUGUUAUUCGUUGUAGUUCAUCAGUGGCUCUGUACAACUCAAAGCCAAACAUAGCUCUCUCUUUGGUAAUCUCAUCCACUUUUUCACAUACUUCUUUGAUCUUGAGGGCAAUGUCGCGACGUCGAGCCACUUGAUUGAAACAAAAGCAAGGAGAUCCCAGGAAGGAACAUCGCAUCUUCUGUAGGCUGCGAGUAUUUUCUUCAACUUCCUCCAUUUUCCAUCUAAGAAUUGCAGUGCUCCAUUCAUCUAGCACGUCAUCCAUAUCAUAGCAUACAUCUUUGAGCUUGUCUGCCCAAUCCCUUACAGCCUUAUCCUUCACUUGUUUUCUAUCUGCAUCUUCAAGGACAGAUUGGAUAGCAAGGAGAUUGCUUUUCAGCUUGUCGACUUGUUUCUGCACACCCCCUACUAGGUUCACUUCUUCCUGUACCUAUUGGUGUAGAAAAGACCAGAAAGUUCAAGCAGAGGAAACAGUUCUAUGAUUUCACUACAAGUUUUUAAUUUUAAUUUUUGGGAAUUAAUAGAUUAAAUAAUUUUUAUUAAUCUUUUUUCCGCAUAGUUCACACGUACAGUGAAUUGGAUUGGCUAUAUUAUAAAUUCAUAUAUAAAAUAUUUAUUAAGAACCUAUAUAUUAAAAAUAAUAAUAUUUCUUUUUAUCAUCAUCAUGAUGAUAUCUCUGUCUGCACUCUGCUACUAUACAAGAAAGGAAAAAAAUGAAUCUUAAAUUGUUCGACGUCAAACCUGUAUAUAACAUAAGCUUGGCGGAUCAAAGAAAUAUAAAAGGAAUAAAAGGAAAGUGAAUAAAAGGAUCUGUAUUUGUUGUUAUUUGUAAAGUCUAUAAUAAGAUUAUGGAAGAAAAAAAAGACUUAAAUUUUUAUAUUUCUUAUCAUGUUACGGUUAAUUCGAUCAUUGCAAAUUGUAUAAAAGUAAUUACCUGUUGAGCAACGACCGUGGUUAACUGCUCCAAAAUUGGCGAUAAAAGUGCCUCUGCCAUUUGUCUUUUUGGUUUAAUUUUAUUUUUAAAAAAGAGAUAAUUAUGAUGAUGAACUGAGAGAGAGAGAGAAGAGUGUGAGGGGAAGGAGGCUGCUGGUUGUGAAAUGAAGAGAGAGGGUUAGUUUAUGUACUUGGGGUUUGGUGAUGAGGGUUGACUAUUGUUUCCAUCCCUGUACUGUUUCUAACAUUUCAAUUCAGUCCCUGUAUUAUUGAACGUUUCAGUCUAGUCUCGGUCAGGGGUUUCCAUCUGCGGAUGGCUUUUCCUGAUUGUAUGUUUCUACUGAGAAUGACAUGCCAUUUUGAGUUCCAAAGGUGAAACACUCGUGCUUUUCUAACUUUUCCUGGCUAAGGAUUAUUAUUUGUGGAAAGUAAUUUCUUCUUCGAUUUAUAGCAAUUAUUUUGGAUUGAUACUGACCUUAGGUUAAGAAUGCUGUAGUUUCUACUGAAAUGUAUCUGAUACAGACCUUAGGGACAACUGAUUAUAGCAUUCUUCUCGUCUGCUUCUCUAUUUCUUCUCUUCAUUUUAUGUUAUUCCACUAGUCUUCCAAACUGGAUCACGGUGAUAUAUAUCUGUCCAUCCAAACUAAUUUACCCAAACCAAAAGUAGUAACCAAUUAGCUCGUGUAAUGGAACUAUAAACAAGCAUCUAUCUUUCUGGGUUUUUGAGAUCAGGUGAUUUUAUCCUGUUUUCAUAGCAGGGACUGGGGUUUGAUAUUGAUCUUUGAUUUUACCCAAACCAAAAGUUUGAAAGGAUUGCUGGUUUGUGUGAUUGGAGCUCCUUUCAAUGGGUGUGAAAAGGCCAAGAAAUGAGCAAGAUUUUCUGGAGGAAAGGAUUCAUAUUGUCUGGACUCAAUCACCUUCCUUUCUUCUUCUUCUUCUUUCUGCAGGAAAAAAGUAGAGCAGAGCAACCCUUUUUGACAGAGGCUAGUAAGUUGCAGAAGUUAGUAAGAAGUGGAUCAUUGAGCAACCAAAUAGCCAAGAUGUCUUAUUUCAAACCCAAGUACAGAUGAAUGCCGUAUUUUUAUUUUUCUAAGGAACUGCAUAUUUGUCCCCCCACUUCUUCUUUUUCUGUUGAAACAGCGACAGGGUACGUGUACUCUAGAAAAUAUUUAGAAUGGAAACAAAUAGAAAGUAGCUUAAAAUUGUGAAAAUAUUGUUUUUAAAUUGUUUAUUUCAAACCUAAUUAAUAAUAUGUUUUUGUUUUAGAUAGUUUUUGUGAUUCUGAUUUGAAAAAAAAUAAGUUUUAAAAAAGUACAGCUAGCUGUGAUUAAUUGAAUUUAAAUACGUGUUUAAUAAAAAUUAUGGUUAAAGUUUAUGUAUAAUAAAAAAUAUGUAUAAAAUAUUUGAUAGUUAUGUUUGAGACUGUGGUUGUGAUUGUUUUUUAAAGUGUUUUUUACAUUAAAAUAAUAUUUUUUUAUUUUAAAAAAAUUAUUUUUGAUAUCAGUGCAUCAAAAUGAUCUGAAAACACCAAAAAAAUAUAUUAAUUUGAAAUAAAAAAAAAUUGUUUUUUACCAGUAAAUCAAAGUGUUUUUUACCUCAUUUUUCCUUGAUUAAUUCUAACUACGAAACAGCUACUGCACCAACAAGAUGGAAAAGGCUCACCAAGAUGUUCUCUUUGAAAAGAUUCUCAAUGAGUCGUUGACAUCUCAUACUUGUCUAAAAAUUUUAAUCUUUUUUUGGAAAAGAUUCUCAGUGAGUCUGUCUCCUGGCUUAUUGAUCAACACUUUUAUCAUAUUGUGAACAAACAUGUCAAUUUCCAGAAUUUUAUUGAGUAGGAUGACUGUAUAGAAUUACUCUGAUUUAUCAACACAUAUCAAAUUCUUGCUGCUGCUGAGGAAGAUAUCCUGCACUUAGCCAUCAUAGAGGGUAGCAAGGUUUUGUGUUGAUGGUAAUUACACUGACUCAUCGUCUAUCAUCUAGAAUUCAAUUUUAAAAAAUAUUGCAAGAAAUGUUUUUUUUCCUAAAUACAUCGAUCGGGUGUGGAUAGAUUGAUUACAAAGCGACUUCCUAAAAAGUCUUGGUCUUAAUAUGCAAAGAUGAUCCAAGUAUGCCAUAUAUUAUUUUUUUAAAAUAAAACCCACAUAUCUAGUCCACGCAAAGGUACUCGAAUAUGGAUUUGUAAAAAUAAAAAUGAAUAUUUAUACGAAAUUGAAUUGUGCAAAUAAAACCCACAGAUCUAGUCCAUGAUCUACGGCUCCUCCAGAGUUCCGUAGUGGUGUCUUUCUCAACUAUUCUUUAAAUAAAAUGUUUGGGAUGUGAGAAAUCUUGUGCCUAUCUUCACCCCUCUCCUCCUUCCCGUAACGUUUCCUUAGAGAAUUUAUGUAGAGGCGCUGUCAAAACAUAGGCCGGUAGUGCUCUCAACAAUGGGCAUUUGAGAAUUCUAAACUCACAAGUUGUGGCAUGAUGAAUAUUGAAGUCGUGGUGGAAUCUUCUUCUCCCACUCUCCUUUCAAUCCCAUCCCACUCUUCUAGUUCUUUGAGAUGCCAAAUGCUGAGUUUUUUCAAUUUAGGGAAAGGAGAGUGGUAGUUUUUUCAAUUGGGGCAAUACUCUUCCAAUUCUCUUUCACUAAUAUUUAUUGGUGGAAAAAAUCACUGAUAGUAGUUUUAAAACACUCAAAGAAAAUAAAACAUAUUGUUUUAUUUCAACAACAAGAAGCUUACAAUAAUUAAACAAAAGCUUUUAAUACACACCCUCUUUUUCUCUCUAGUGUUCAUCUCUUAUCUUUCCCACACACAAUUACAUAAACUUACCUAUCUAUUUAUACACAAAUUAAAAGUAAAAAAAAAAAAAUCAAACUUCAAGUGUGAAGGCGGCUGGUGGCUAAACAGUGGGGUCCUUUUGUAUUUUGUCAAAAGAGAUGAAAUUAUAAUCAAUGAUGAUGAUAUAUAUAUAUAUAUAUAUAUAUAUAUAUAUAUAUAUAUAUAAACUACUAUGUGCAUUCUAUAAUUUAGUUAUAUAAUACAAUAGAUCUUUACAAUUAGUGAUUUCAACUUACCAAUAGAGAAAUUAUAGUAGAUCUUUACUAUGAUAUAUUCAAAAUAAAUAAAUAAAACAGGUAUACUUCAACACGCAUAUUAUACAUACACUUCUUUUUUAAAAAUUAAUCAUAAAAAAUUGAUUAGUUAUUUAUUAUAAAAAUCAGACCUGUAAGUUAUAUCUAAAUCAUUGAAAAUAGUAAAGGUAAACUAAUUAGAAGAGACAAUGUAUUUCAAAUUAGUUAAUUUAUAUAGAAUUAUUUUAGUUACUAAAUUAAAAAAUUCAAAUUUUUAUAUCACUUGGAAUACAUAAGGUGGAUUUAAUCCACAAAAUCGAUGGGUGAUAACCUCUAAGAUAUCGAUGGGUACAUAUAUGGUGGAUUUAAUCCACAAAAUCAAUAAGAGACCAAUCGGCUAGCUCCAAAAUCAAACCAUCUCCACCUCAUUCAAACACGAUUUAAAAUAAUCAACACCACCUUUUUAUACAAUGUGGGAUUAAUGAGGAUAUAAAUCCAAGGCUCCAACAUCCAAAGUCUCAAUCUUAGAUUUAUUAGCUAGUAUAGCAACGCCUCAUUGGCAAGAACCCAAAUCACUAAGCUCAAAUUACUAAUAAAAAUUAUAAAUUUUCAGAUAAUAUUUUUAAUAUUUAAUCUUUCUAGCAAUUGAUGAUAGCAAUUGCAAAUGAAUAGAGGAGGAAGCAUCGAGAUCAUUGGCUUGUUUGAAGGCAAAUGGACCCUUUGAUCGUUAGAUGAUGCAUCUAAAUGAGGCUCCACAUUAUAAAAGCGUAAUUAGGUGGCACGCGCUAUCCCACAAACUCACCUUAGAUUUUCAAAAUAAAAUUAGAUGGAGGAUCCAUGUCUAUUUGGGUCCUCCCUAGACAGGACCCCAACAUAUUCGGGUCCAGUAACGACCAGGUCCAAGUCUAGCGUUGGGCUAGGUUGGGUAGGACCCAAGGUUAUUUGGGUGUACCUGGCAGAAUCCAAGAUUGUUUUUGAGUCCUGCAACUAAUAAUUAUAUGUAAUUUCUAAAUGAAACUAAAUGUAAAAUUAAAUAUAAUUUGAUAAAAUUAUUAUAAACAUUUGGUAAAAUUAGUAAAUGAUAUAACAUUUUCUUUCAAAUUCAUCAAUUAUUUAAAUAUUAAGUACAAAAAAUACUCUUAUGAAUUUUGAUAAAAAUAAUAAUAUUUAUAAUACAACUGAUAACAUUUUUAGUAUUAAAUUAUUAAUUAAUAUAAAUAAUAUUAUUUAUAACACCAAAAAUAAUAAUAUUUUUGAGAUUAAUACUAUUAAUUAGACUAAAAAAUAAUAUUAAUAAAACAAAUAAUAAUAUUUCUAAUACUAAUACUAUUAAUUAUACUAAAAAUAUAUAUUAAUAAAAAUAUAAAAUACUCUUAAUAUUAAUUAUACUAAAAAAAUAUUAAUAAAACAAAUAAAUAUUUUAAUACUAACUUGUAAUUAUACUAAAAAUAUGGGCAGCCCAAGCGCUAAGUGAUGCUUGGACUACACUCAAGAGAAAUCAUAUUAUUUUAAAAUAUUUGUCCACUAAUUGCUAUUGAAUUUAAAAUAAAUAUACUUUUAAAACUAAUAUAAAGUUACCAAUAGUCGAUUUGAUAGCUGCUUGCAUAAAAUCUCAUUGAAUUUGGCCAAUGGUUUUUUAGAAUAAAGUAAAAAAAAAGUUAUUUCAAAACAUAACCAAAGUAGUUUUAGUUAUUUGUCAGAAACUAGUAUAUCCCAUAAAAAUCAGAGUUUUGGAUGAAAUAAAAUCAAUUCUAAAAUCAAACGCCGAUUGAAGCUUCAACGCAUUUGUGAACUAGAGAAUUUAAUUAUUAAACUCGUUUGUUUCGCGUUCAAAAAUAUUUUAAAAUUAUUUUAUUUUUUAUUUAUUUUUUUGUUUUUUAAAUUAAUAAUUUUUUUAGUAUAUUUAGAUCAUUUUAAUGUGUUUAUAUAAAAAAUAAUUUAUAAAAAAUAAAAAAAAUUAUUAUUUUAAUAUAUUUCUAAUAAAAAAUACUUUGAAAAAUAAUUAUAAUAAUACUGUCACACAUGCUGUUUAAUGUUUGUUCAAAAAUUGUGCUUUUUAAAAUAUGCAUUCUAACGCAAAGAAAGCAUAUAAAACACAUCAAAGUUGCAAAAGUACGUAGUUUUAAUUAUUAGCAAAAGUAUUCUAAAAUAUGAAAAGAUAGGUUUAAAUACCCUAAAUAUCCGUAAAUAACUAGAAAAAAAUUAAUAAAACUAAAAUCCAAAAUUAUCAAGGCAAAAAUCUAAAAUAUGGUCUGAAACUUCAAAGGCAAUUUUUUUAGAGUGGCAUUUGGAGAAUUUAAGUAAGGAAAAAGCUUCACGUGAGCGAGAUAAUAUCAUCUUAGAUUAAUUCUUUAACAUGUAAAAUUUAAGUCUAAUUCAAUAAUUAAAUAAAAAAUUACCUCUUCCUGCCGGUCUUAACUAUUCUUUAAAUAUAAACAUAUGAAUUACAUAUUAUUUUAUAUAUGUUGAGAGAGAGAGAGAGAGAGAGAGAGGAUGUAUACUAUAUAUAUCACAGCUGCCUUUGAUAGAAUAAAUGGUAAGUAGGAAAUACAAUCCAAAGUCAACAUUAUACAGUAAAGAGGUAUAUGAAACAUACCUCGUCCUGCCUGUCCUACAGAUUAUGGUAAGUCGGAAAUCGAAUUACAGUAAAGAGGUCACAUAGAGUAAAUAGUAAGGCUUACAUAUUAUUUACACUCAACCUUAGCAAACACCAAAGCAAAUAAUUAAUACACUCAGAACCAAAUCUUUUACCGUUAAGAAUUAACACUGGUGGAAGAAUUUAUCAUCAAAAUAAAUGUUUGGGAUGUGAGAAAUCUUUUGCCAAUCUUCACCCAUCUCCACCUCCUUCCCGUAACGUUAGAUUGGGGCAACCAUAUGCGUAGAUCCUGUAUAGGCGCUGCCAAAACAUAGUCUGGUAGUGCUCUCAACAACGGGCACCAACGAAUUGUCAACUGUCGAAGUUGUGGCAUAAUGGAUAUUAUUGAAGUUGUGUUGGCAUCUUCUUCUCCCACUCUCCUUUGAAUUCCAUCCCACUCUUCUACUUCUUCGAGAUCCCAAAUCUCAAGUUUUUUAAUUUGGGGAAAGCAGUGACCCUUGCAAUUUCUCCUUCCUUAAUACUGGCAUUCUCAUCUUUUUCUAUACCUAAAAAUCCACCAUCCAGCCUUCUCACCUUCAAAAGUACCAGGUGUUCAAGGUUGGGCAAUCUUCCCAACGGAGGCAAGAACUCCACGUUUUCACAAUAACGGAGUGUCAGCACCUGUAAUCUGGUCAAUGUCAUCAUCCAAUUUGGCAAUUCCAACCCUCCGUAACAAUAUAUGCUUAGAUCUUCCAAGUCUGACGGAGGCUGCAAAGCUUCAAUUAAAGAGCCUUCAUGCUCUGGCAACACUGUUUUCUCUCCGAAGAAAUUCAAUACCAAACGAAACAGGCGCUUCUUAUUCUUGAGUUGUGCUUCUGCAGCGUCACUCGCAUCUUCUUUACCUCCUCCUAGAUUCCGUAUCUGAAGACUCCCUCCAAUGUGAUUUAAGUUUUUUAAUUCUCUUAGAUUAGCUGCUUUACUUUCAUUCUCACCACCACCACACACAGUAAACACAUCUAAUGUACCAACAGGUGUGUGGCUCAAGUGGUGAAGGGGGCAGCUCUCCUUUCAUCGAACCCAGGUUCGAAUCCCAGUGGGAGUGGGGCUGGAGAGUUUGCUCUCUUCCUAUUUCUCUUGGGUCCUCCCUGUGCGGUAUCCCUGUCACCCCCGCGGUGUCUUACCUGCUCACUAGGGCUUGCAGGAUGUUCAGUGGGCCGUGGGAUUAGUCGUGGUGCGCGUAAGCUGGCCCGGACACCCACGUUAUCAAAAAAAAAAAAAAAAAAAAAAAAACACAUCUAAUGUUUAGUUAUAUAAUUGAUCAUCGUGGCUACAAAAUGAAGUGGAACUAAUAAUUAAUGGAGUGGAAUACUAAAUAAAAUGAAUUGCUAUGUGUAUUCUAUAAUUUAGUUAUAUAAUAUAGGCAGAUAUGUACAAAUUAGUCAUUUCAACUUAUCAAUAAAGAAAUUAUAAUAGAUUUUCACCGUGGUAUGAUCGCAAUAAAUAAAAUAAAAUAGAUAUAUCUCACAGCAUUAAUAAUUUUUUAGUUUUUGUUAAACAAUGUCAACAUAUAUAUAUAUAUUAUACAUACACUCAUUUCUUUAAAAAUAAUUAUAAUAAAAUUAAUUAGUUAUUUAUUAUAAAAACCUGACCUAUGAGUUAUGUCUAAGCUGUUAAAAAUAGUAAAAAUAAAAUAAUUUGAAAAUAGAAUUAUUAAUUAAUUUAUAUCAAGUUGUUUUAUUUAUUAAAUUAAAAAAUCCAAGUUUUAUAUCACCUAGAUUACUUAUGUUGGAUUUAAUCCAUAAAAUUGAUGGGUAUCAUCUCUUAUAUAUGAAUCGAUGGGUAUCAAGUUACAUGCCAUCUUGCAAAUUAGAAUAAUAGACCACUCGACUGGCUCCAAAAUCAAACCAUCUCCACCUCAUUCAACACGAUUUAAAAUAAUCAACACCACCUUUUUAUACAAUGUGGGAUUGAUGAGGAUAUAAAUCUACAGACUCCAACAUCCAAAGUCUCAAUCUUAGAGUUCUUAUCUGGUAUAGUAACGCCUCAUUGGCAAUAACCCAAAUCACUAAACCCUAAAUCACUAAUAAAAAUUACAAAUUUACACCGAAUUUGAACAAAUUUCUACCAGCCGAUGUCACUAAACUCAAAUUACUCCUAAAAAUCUCAAUAUAAACCCAUUAACUACUAGACCAACAACUCAUUGGCUAGAAUCCACGUUGCUUUUCCACAACAAUCAUCAGCUUCUUCAAUUAGGAUGCUACAAGCCCUUGUCUAUAUACUAGCUUAAAUUGCAACAACCUUUGAUUCCGAGAGAAGUUUGGCCUGAUCCAACGGUAGUCAAUGCGUGCUCAAUCUGUACUAGCUUUCUGGUAGGACUGAAAGUAGUGAGAGAAAAGGAGUACUGGCUAUCACCCAUGGUUUAUUGCUUGAAGACGCAGAGAGGAAAAACUGCGAAUGCGAGCGUGUGGGAGAGAAAGGCAAGGAUAUUUACUUGGGGUUUGAACUUUGCUUUUCUUGUUGGAGAAGGAGGAGUUUUCUUACGAGGGCUUUUACAAUGGAGUAUUUUGGGCUUUUAUGACGGCAGGUUGGUUCUCUUUACAUUGAGCUCAAUGAAGGCUUUAAUUUUUUAAACUUAACUUUAUCCGGGUCAGUUCACGGGAGAAGUUUAAUUUUUUUUUUUUUAAGAAAAUAAAAUAACAUUAUUUUUAGUACUUUUUUAAAAUGAUAUUUUACCUGAGUCCACAGGCGAUGUAUAAAGUUUUUUUUAUUUAAAAUAAUAUUUUUUUUUUAUUUUAAUAUUUACUUACUAUUUGUAUACUAAAACAGUAAAACAUGUGAGAUUUUCACUUUAUAUUUGUUACUGUGCAAAAUUUUAUUUUUUAGUUUAGUCCUCAAACUUUAUUUUUGAACUAUCAAGUCCUAUUUAAAAAACAAUUGAUUUUAAAUUCUGAUAAAAAAUUUGGAUUGGAAGAGAGGAACUGAAAUGAAAAACACGAUAGAUAUGGGUAACGCACCUUAAAUUUUUAAAACAUUCUCUUUGGUCUUCCAACUUAAACAAUCACACAAAUUAUAUAAUUUUGGUACCUCAAAAUUGUUCCAAUUCCAUUUUGGUGCGAAGAUUUAUUUUUGUUAUUUUCUAGUUCCUAAUUAAGAGAGGAGAGAAAGAAAGGGGUCACUAGAUUCCAAUAAUAAAAAGAGAAACUUGUCGUUGACACCAACUUAAACCACUAAAAUAAGGGAUCUUUAUGUCAAAUUAUUAGGGGAGUUCCUAUUAGAUGUUUUUGUAACUUAAAAGUUCAUGAAAAAAAGGAUCUAAACUCGGGUUAAUUUUUUUUAUUUUAGACUGUGUUUGGUUUUUUAGGCAGUUUUUUGGAUCUAGUAUGGUUUCCCGAUCCAAGUACCUAGGGUCUGGCAUAGUUGCUAUAAAAAUAUAACUUUAAAGAAUAUAAUUAAAAACAAAUAAAGUGACGUGAUUAGUUAAAAACUAAAAAUAAUAAUAAAAAAAAAGACUUAACCUCAUUUUUUUGUUGUUCAGAAGGCUUCUUUUAAAUAAUAUUAAUUUUUUUUAUGAGUUUAAUUUUCAGAGAGGUUUUCUAGUGUAUUUAUGGUUUUGUUUGUCUUUUAUAUAAAUAAAUUAUAUUUUGAAAAUAACAAAAUAUUUAUUUUCAGAUAAUAUUUUUAAUAUGUAGUCUUCGUAGUGAUUGAUGAUGCCAAUUGUAAAUGAAUGGAGGAGGAAGCAUCAAGAUCGUUAGCUUGUUUGAAGGCAGAUAGACCUUUGAUCAUUAGAUGAUGCCUCUAAACGAGGCUCCAUAUUAUAAAGGCAUAACAAAGAGAGGAUGAGAGAAAUAAUUAUAGACCAGUUAGGUGGUUUGUGCUACAUCGCGGGCUCACCUUUAAUUUCUAAAAUAAAACUGGGUGAGUACCCAAGUCUAUUUAGGUCCUUUUCAAAUAGGAGCCAAGCAUAUUUGGGUUCUAUCGCGGCCAAGCCAGGUAGGACCUAAGGUUAUUUGGGUCAUGUACCUGGCAGGACCCAAGGUUAUUUUUGAGUCCUACAACUAAUAAUUUGUAUUUAAUUUUUAAAUAAAACUAAAUGUAAAAUUAAGUAUAAUUUGAUAAAAUUAUUAUUACAAUACAUUUGGUAAAAUUAAUAAAUGAUAUAACAUUUUCUUUCAAAUUCAUAAAUUAUUUUAUUAAUAAUAUUAAUUACAAUAAAAUAUACUCUUAUAAAUUUUAAUAAAAAUAAUAAUAUUUAUAAUACAACUGAUAAAAUUUUUAGUAUUAAUAUUAUUAAUUAAUAUAAACAUAAUAUUAUUUAUAACACCAAAAAUAAUAAUAUUUUUGAGAUUAAUACUAUAAAUUAGACUAAAAAAUAAUAGUAAUAAAACAAAUAAUAAUAUUUUUAAUACUAAUACUCUUAAUAUUAAUUAUACUAAAAAAAACUAUUAAUAAAAAAAAUAAUAUUUCUAAUACUAAUAUUUGGAAUUAUACUAAAAGUAUGUACGGGCAGCCCAAGCGUUAAGUGGCGCUUGAACUGCACUCAAGAAAAAGCAUAUUAUUUUAAAAUAUUAUUUGUCCACUAAUUGCUAAUAUAAAUACACUUUUAAAACUAAUAUAAAGUCACCCAGAGUCAAUUUGAUAGCUGCUUGCAUAAAAUCUCAUUGAAUGUGGCCAAUGUUUUUUAGAAUAAAGUGAAAUAAAAAGUUAUUUCAAAACAUAACCACAGUAGUUUUUAAUUAUUGGUCUAGAAACUUUAGUAUAUCUCAUAAAAUCCAUGAGUUUUGGAUGAAAUAAAAUCAAUUCUAAAAUCAAACUCCGAUUGAAGCUUCAACUGCAUUUGUGAGCUAGAAAAUUUAACUUAUUAAGUUAGGUUUGUUUUUGCAUUUUAAAAGCGUUUUUAAAAAUUUUAAAUUUAUUUUAUUUUUUUCUUUGCUUUAAAUUAUUUUUUUUUUGUGUUUUUAGAUCAUUUUGAUGCGCGAAUAUCAAAAAUAAUUUUUAAAAAAUAAAAAAAAUAUUAUUUUGAUAUAUUUCUAAGUAAAAAUCAUUUUAAAAAGUAAUCACAACAAUAUUUUCACACAAUCUCUUCAAAACUUGUGCUUUUUAAAACAUGCAUUCAAACGCAAAGAAAGCAUAUAAAACACAUCAAAGUUGCAAAAGUAUGUAGUUUUAAUUAUUAGCAAAAGGGUUUAAAUACCCUAAAUAUCCGUAAAUAACUAGAAAACAAUUAAUAAAAAAAUAAUAAAACUAAAAUCCAAAAUUUUCAAGGAGAAAAUCUAAAAUAUGGUCUGAAAUUUCAAAGGCAGCUUUUUUAGAGUGGCAUUUGGAGAAUUUAAGUGAGGAAUAAGCUUCACGUGAGCGAGAUAAUAUCAUCUUAGAUUAAUUUUUUUAACAUGUAAAAUUUAAGUCUAAUUCAAUAAUUAAAUAAAAAAAAUUACCUCUUCCUGCCUGUCUUAACUAUUCUUUACAUAUGAACAUAUGAAUUACAUAUUAUUUUAUGUUGAGAGAGAGAAAGAGAGAGAGAGAGAGAGAGAGAGAGGAUGUGAGAGAGAGAGAGGGGUGUAUAUAUAUAUCACAGCUGCAUUUGAUAGAAUAAAUGGUAAGCAGGAAAUACAAUCCAAAGUCAACAUUAUACAGAUAUUUGACUCACAAUAAAUCAUCCAUACUCUUAUAAAAAAUAAAGAUGGGUAAACUCUUAAUUAGGCCUUGCUGCUGAAUUUUGUUGUUGAUUUGUAAUUUAAUUAUUGUUGAAGAUUUUUUGUGUUGGCAACCCAAACUAUCAUUGUGUUGGGUUUGGAUAACUUUAUUUGGAUUUAAUCUCCAAAAUCGAUGGGUAUCAUCACUUAUAGAUGAAUGGUUUAGCUUCUCUCAUUUUUUUGGAUUUAAUCCACUGAAACUGAGGUUUAAGAAUUUCUUGGAUUUAAUCCACUGAAACAGUUGCUUGAUCAAGAUCAUUGGCUUGUUUGAAGGCAGAUAAAGGCUUAAAAAAGAAGAAGCAAAUAUCAUCUUAGUUGAAAUUUCAAAGGCAAUUUUUUAGAGUAAAGAGGAAAUAAUUAAUACACUCAAAGCAGGUUCUAAAGAGUUCUGUCUUUCUCACCAAACAUGCAAAUAAAUCUUUGGGAUGUGAGAAAUCUUUUGCCAAUCUUCACCCAUCUCCUCCUUCCUACAGCUGUAACGUUUCCUUAGAAUGGGGCAACCCCUUAUCCCCAAUGCCUGCAGAGGCGCUGCCAAAACAUAGUCUGGUAGUGCUCUCAACAAUUGGCAAUAUUCAAUUCCCAAGUACUGAAGUUGUGGCAUAAUGGAUAUUAUUGAAGUUGUGUUGGCAUCUUCUUCUCCCACUCUCCUUUCCUUCCCACUCUUCUACUUCUCCGAGACCGUCCAUCCAAAGUUUUUUUAAUUUGGGGAAAGCAGUGACCCUUGCAAUUUCUCCUUCAUUAAUACUGGCCUUCUCAUCUUUUUCUAUACCUAAAAAUCCAGCAUCCAACCUUCUCACCUUCAUUGAGCUCAAUACCAGGCUUUCAAGGUUGGGCAAUCUUCCCAACGGAGGCAAGACCUCCACGUUUUCACAAUCACGGAGUGUAAGCUUCUGUAAUCUGGUUAAUGUCAUCAUCCAAUUUGGCAAAUCCAACCCUCCGUAGCUAUACAUGGUUAGAUUUUCCAAGUCUGACGGAGGCUGUAAAACUUCAAGUAAAAUGUCGUUCUCCCGGUUGAAGUCAAAAUCCAAUUGCAAACAAAGCAGGCGCUUCUUAUUCUUGAGUUGUGCUUCUGCAGCGUCACUCGCAUCUUCUUUACCUCCUCCUAGAUUCCGUAUACGAAGACUCCCUCCAAUGUGAUUUAAGUCUUUUAAUUCUCUUAGAUUAGCUGCUUUACUUUCAUUCUCACCACCACCACACACAGUAACACAUCUAAUGUUUGAAGACAUGUUAUCCUCUCUACUCCCUUUGGUAUGAAGGCCACACCUGAAAGAACAACCCGGAGAUGCCUCAAUUUGAUAAGUUUUCCAAUCGCAUUAGGCAAUUCCUUGAGAGAAGCACACAGAGUAACGUCUAGGGAUUGCAGAUUGCAUAAAUCACACAUGGUUUCUGGCAGGGACUCCAACUGAUAACAAGAUGCCACAUUGAGGUGUCUCAAAUGUAUCAAAUUCCCUACCUCGUUUGGUAUUUCUUUGAUUGAAGACCUUGUCAAAUUCAAUGACCUGAUGCAUGUCAACUGCUUGAACAAAUCAGGCAGUGCAACUCCAAGCGAAGGGUCUCUAGUGUCCAUCAAGAGGCUGCGAAGACCUUUUGCUUUGUGAAUGGACUUGGGAAACGAGCUCUCCUCUGACAGCAUCAUGCUUAAAUGACGAACCCUUUCAAUUGAAGUCUCCACUGUUGCUUUUCCAAGUUUACUGGCAUCCACUGUUAGACAUUCAUUUUUUGUCAUAUAUUGGGAAAAAUCAUGCACUAUAUCAUGCAUCUUGAAUUUCAUUCCUUCACACCAAUCCAUCUCAAAAUCUUGGAAGAAAGAACGCGCUGCUAAGACUUGAAAGUACUGCUCUCCUACACCCGAAGUCUCCUUGAGGUAACCUUGAGCUAUCCACAUCUUCACCAAUUCAUAUUUUCCCAUCUUGUAGUCUUUUGGAAACAUGGCACAAUACAAGAAACAUCGUCUUACCACAGAAGGUAAAUCGUAGUAACUCAAAAGCAAAGGUAUAAAUAUGCGUCUUUCAACCUGAUCUCUAUCAACCUCAUCUAGCCUCCACAGUUCGCUAGAUAAAACACGUUCCCACUCUUCUCUUGUUAUUUUAGACUGCAUUAGACCGCCUAAUACCUUGGCAGCUAGAGGGAAGCCCUUGCACUUGUUUGCAAUUUUAUCUCCGAUAUCUGUCAAUCUUUCGCACUCAUCUUCGCUUCUUUCCUGGAAUGCCACAUGAUUGAAUAUUGAACUGCAUAUCUCAUCGGACAAUUUCUCAAUGUUGAUCCGGUGGUCAGUUCCCAUCAUCGUUGCCACAGCGUCCUUACGAGUGGUCACUAGAAUUCUGCUUCCUCGUGCACAGCCUGUGAGAGAUGGUUUCAGUUGUUCCCAUUGUCCAUGAUUUUCUGUCCAGACAUCAUCAAGGACAAGAAGGAACCUCUUUCCCUUAAUGGAUUCAGAAACCCUUCGCAAAAGGGAUUGCAAUCCUACCAAAUCAGAUGCCCUCCCUUCAAGCUCCUCAAGGAUACCUUUGGCUAUUCUAACCUCAUCAAAUGGUUCUGAAACACACACCCAUAUCUUUUUCUCAAAAUGAGCCGUAACCUCAGCAUCAUUAAAAGCUAGUUGGGCGAGAGUUGUUUUUCCAAUUCCGCCCAGCCCUACUACAGAGAUGACAUCCACGUCCCGUGCUUCUUGACUACUUUCAGCCAGCAACUUGCUUACAACAUUUCUCUUUUCACCAUCUCGACCAAUCACGCUUGAUUCAUCAAACAAAGGAGGUAGUUGUUAGUCGCUGGAGUUCAUCAGUGGCUUUGUACAGAUCAAAGCCAUACUUAGCUCUCUGUUUGGCAAUGUCAUCCACUUUUUCACAAACUUCUUUGAUCUUCAGGGCAAUGCCGCGACGUCGAACCACUUGAUUGAAACAAAAGCAAGGAGAUCCCAGGAAGGAACACCGUAUCUUCUGUCGGCUGUGAGUAUUUUCUUCAGCUUCCUCCAUUUUCCAUCUAAGAAUUGCAGUGCUCCAUUCAUCUAGCACGUCAUUCAUAUCAUAACAUGCAUCUUUGAGCUUGUCUACCCAAUAUCUUACAGCCUUAUCCUUAACUUGUUUUCUAUCUGCAUCUUCAAGGACAGACUGGAUAUCAAGGAGAUUGCUUUUCAGCCUGUCGACUUGUUUCUUCACACCCACUACUAGGUUCACCUCUUCUUGUACCUAUUAGUGUACAAAAGAUAAGGAAGUUCAGGCAGAGGAAACAUUUCUAUGAUUUCACUGCAAAUUUUUAAUUUUAAUUUUUUGUAAUUAAUAGAUUAAUAAUUUUUUUUAAUCUUUUUUUCGCAGUAGCUGACACGUACAGUGAAAUGGAUUUGCUAUAUUAAAAUAUAUAUUAAAAUCCUAUAUAUUAAAGAUAAUAAUAUUUCUUUUUAUCAUCAUCAUGAUGAUAUCUGCCUGCACUCUGCUACUAUACAAGAAGGAAGAAACCUAUAUAUAACAUAAGCUUGUUGGAUCAAAGAAACAUAGAGAAUGAAAGGAUCUGUAUUUGUUGGUAUUUGUAAAGUCUAUAGUUUUAAAGUGAAAAAUAUUCUUCCUUCAUAACACUCACUAAUUAUUUUAACAUUUGAUUGAUUAUUUUACAGUUUAGUGAGAGGAUCGACAACUACUACUCCUUUUUCCUUCUAAGGAUAUUUGUUUUAGAUUAUUUCCGGAAAUAUGAAAAACAAUAAAACAAUAAAAAGAAAUUUCUUUAAUAAAAUCCAAAUCUAGAUCUGAGGAUUUGAUAUUUUAUUUUAUUUUUCUAAUAAAGGAAGAAAAAGAGACUUCAUUUUUAUAUUUCUUAUUCAUGUAAGGGUUAAUUAGAUCGUUGCAAAUUUUACAGUUAAGCAGUAGUUUGCUGAUUGAAAUGACUGUAAAUGGAUCCCAAUUGGAAACUGUCAUAAUUGAACUGCGAGCUCCGUUUUAUGUUUCUUCAGAACAUCAGUUUCCAUCGUGAUGCCUUCUUCCUUCAUCAAAAAGUGGGCAAAAUCAUAGGAGUAUGUGUCGCCUCUUCAACUUUAAAGAGUCCUCCUUCUUUUCUUGAAAAUCCUGGAAAAAAAGCUAAGAUUUUGAAGUACUCCUUACCAGCCAGCUCCAUUUGAUCUGUAUGGAAACGGACAGCUCUCCAUCAAUCAGCAACGGAGGGGUAGGGAGGUGAAGAAGAGAGGGAAUAGAUGAAAUCCCUAAUAGUAGCUUGGUGUUUUUUGUUCCAAUGACCAAACCAGAUAAUGUACGAGUUGACAGGUGCAGCCAGAACAGGCCCCUAGAAAAGCAACUGAAGGUCUACUACAUCAGAUGACCCUUCAUAGUUCUUGGCCCGGUUGAAUAGGUCGUCUAGACAAACAAAACAGAGAGAGCAAGAGUACAUUGUGUAGCAUAAGCUUAUUAUGCAUUUAAGUCUUUAGACUUUUUUUAUUAUUAUUAUUAACGUAGGUGUCCAGGUCAGCUUCCGCGCACCUUGAUUAAUCUCACGGGCACAUUGUCAGAAAUUACAGCAAGAAAUUCUGUAAUUAUUGUAAGAAAGAAGGGCAUGUAAUCAAGGAAUGUCGUCUGCGACCACAAAAUCGACAAGGAUUUACUGUGCAGUCGAAAUUGGGGGCUGCUUUUAUGGCCGCCGAAGCCGUGUCCUCACCAUCGACACUGGAAUCUUCAUCGUCGGUGAGCUCUUCGUCGAGCACUCUCACUCCCGAGAUGGUGCAGUAGAUGAUAAUAUCUACCUUCUCUGCACUCGGGAUUUCUGGUAAGAAAAAUAAACUUAACUUUCCCUUAGAUUCAGCACAUAAUAAACAAUGGUUAAUGGAUUUGGCAUCGUCUAAUCACAUGACCAACAGUGAAAAUGGGUUGUGUAAUGUGCUAAAAUACAUGGGUAAUUAGCAUAUACAGGUAGCAAAUGGUGAUAAUCUGCCAAUUUUGUCGAUUGGUAAUUUGGGGUCUUACUUCAAUAAUAUUUUUGUGUCACCAAAAUUAUCAACAAGUUUACUCUCUGUUGGUCAAAUGGUAGAAAAUAACUGUGAAAUUCACUUUGAUCAUCAUGGUUGUUGUGUGCAGGAUCAAGUGUCGGGGGAAGGUAAUCGCGAAGGGGCCUAAAGUGGGACGUUUAUUUCCAAUACAAUUUUCUAUUCCUAGUAUUAAUUCUUGUGCUUAUUCUACUCUCAUUCAUAAUCCUCAUUUUUGGCAUAAGAAAUUAGGGCAUUCUAAUUCUAAUGUAUUGACUUAUCUUAUGAAACAUGGAUAUUUGGGGAAUAUAAACUCUUUUUCAACAGAAUUUUUGGAUUGUAGUUCUUGCAAAUUGGGUAAAAGCAAAGCAUUAUCAUUCCCUUCACAUGGUAGUUGUGCUUCUAAAUGUUUUGAAAUUAUUCAUACUGAUGUAUGGGGCAUAAGCCCUGUUAUCUCUCAUGCUAAGUAUAAAUAUUUUGUCACGUUUGUUGCUACCUAAUUUUUGAUAAAUUUUCAGAAAAAUCAAAAAUAGCAAAAAAAACAAAGAAAAACCCAAAAAUAUAUUUUUGAUGUAUUUGCAUCGUUUUUAGCAUUUUCAAUGCCAUCUCAAAAGAAUUUAAAUUUUUAAAGGAAUUUUGGAACGCGUUCAACUUUUAACGCGUAAAAUUUUAUGAUCACUGAUUUUUAUUUUUGAGUUGACGGUGAUAUUGCUCGCUUUCGAAAACACAAAAAAAGAGAGAAAAUCAAAAUUUAAGAAAAAAAAGAGGAAAAGUUGAGGGACCAUUGUGAUUUUGGCCAUGCCACAUUUCUCCUAUAAAUACUAAGCUACAGUAAUGAACCAAGGGGCGAAAAAUAGACACAGGGAGAAAAAUGGUUUCACGGGGGAGAAAUUUACAUGGGGGGAAAGGCAAGUAGAAAAAAACCCUAAAGCCAAAAAAAAAAACCUAGAAACUAAAAAAACCCUUUCUUCCCCGGCAGCCGCCCUUGGCCUUUGAAAAAAACCUAGAACUAAUGAUUUUCUUCCUUAGCCACAACGCUGACCUCUCUUUUUGAAAAAGGGAGGAACAGACCGCCGCUGCAGAGUCUUUGAAAGGAAAAAGUCACCUGGCUAGGCGUUUCAAACAGCCCCGCCUCUCCUCUCUCCUUUUCUUCUCCCGAAACUAGCCAAAACUGACCCUCUCACUCUCAGCACAAAGCAGCCGCCCCCUUUACCCCCAUCUUCUUCUCCCUCAACCGACAGAUCUCACCCUCCAAUAGCAACCCCUCUUGCACGAAAAAACCCAGAGAAACCGUCCCUAAGCUCUCCAUUUUCCCUGCAGGAGGAGAGAAACCCACCGGACACAAGCCUUCUCCAGGUCUCCCCCGGAGCCGCCGCCCCCCAUCGUCUUGGAUUUGUUUCUCUCCCGAGACCAGCCGGCCACUCAUUUUUUCCCUUGGCUUGCUAAACAAAGCGGAGAAACUGGAGAGCAUCAGACUGACCUCUCUCUCCCUCGGCCGACCACCAUCAACCGGUCAACAGCAGCAUCUUCCCUUCUCCUGCAGCUCGUUACAGAGACAAUGAGAAGGGAGGCCAGAGGAUAGUGAAGAAGGGGCAGAAAACCGAAGCUUGGAUGGGCGCCGAUCUCGCAACCAUGGCAGCGGUGGACAACACCACCGUUGCAGAAACGAAAUGGGAGGAAGGGAAGUUGCUGAUCCAGCCAUCCACACGCCUGGUCUGUGGGCGGCGCGUGUAACGCCCAGCUUCAGAUUCGGCAGAUUUGAAGAAAAGAGAGGAGAAGCAGAUCCGAAAACAGUGAUUGAAAAAUAACUAAAAUCAGCUGGCUUUUUGUGCUUUGAUUUUUCUUUGCAGGUCACCACCGGUGGAAGAGGGGAUGAGGCCGUUGAAGACCCCCUGUGUUGUGUGGAUUUUUGCGGCGGCGCGUGGAUGCACGCGCCGCUACUGUUCAGGCAGCUCCAAAAAUUGUUUUCCUGAAUUUUUGGGACUAUUCUGUAAUUUUCAAUUAUGUGAUGUAAUUUUUGUUUAGUUUUGAAUUUUUUAUUUGUAUGUUGUGAAUUUGAAUGUAACAAAAAAAACAAAAAAAAAAGAAAGAAGAGAAAGGAAAAGAAAAAUAAAUAAUAUAAAGAAAGUUGUGUGUGUGUUUGUUUUUUUAUUUAUGUUAUUGAAUUAUAAAAAUAAAAAAAGGACAAAAAGAAUUAUUUGUUUAAUUUGAAUAUGGUUAAAUAUUUAAGGACAAAUAAAAUUAUGUUAUAUUUUCUAUGAAAGUGUAAGAACAUGUUUUUACACGUAUUCAGGGAUUUAAUAAUUGAUUUAUUAAAGUCUUAGAAUUUGAUUAAUAUUUUAAAUUUUCAAAUCAUAUCAAACCACGAAGCAGCUUAGCUCAGGUAGGGUGCUGUAGGGGUACUAAUACCUUUUCUAGCCACAAUCAGUCCCUUACCCUAGAAUCUCUGACCACGACCAGUAAAUCAUGGUUUUCUAGUAACCCUCUAUUAAAUACUAGGUGGCGACUCUCAAAGAACCAAUCAAGCAAAGACAACGAAAAAUUGCCAAAUCACCGCGUGGGGGACGUGCGACAAUGUUUAUUGAUGAUUUCAGUCGUUUCACUUGGAUAUAUUUUCUUCGAUCUAAGACUGAUUUAUUCUUAACAUUUCAGGCUUUCGUUGUAUUUAUUGAAAAUCAAUUUUCUACUCAUAUUAAAAUACUUUGUUCUGACUCCGGGGGGGAAUAUGUGUCCAAAGAACUUCAGGAAUAUCUCAAAAACAAAGGGAUUCUCUCUCAAAGAUCUUGUCCUUACAUUCCUUAACAAAAUGGAGUUGCUGAGCGUAAGAAUCCUCAUCUUUUAGAUGUUCGCACCUUAUUAAUUGAUUCUUUGGUACCUACUCGAUUUUGGGUAGAAGCACUGUCCACAGUCGUUCAUCUAAUUAAUUGUUUGCCUUCACAAGUACUAAACUUUGCAUCUCCAUACUCUAUUUUAUUUGGUGUUAUUCCUAAGUAUGAUUCUCUCCGUGUUUUUGGGUGUGUUUGUUUUGUUCACUUACCAUCUACUGAACGUAAUAAACUUUUAGCCCAAGCUGCUCGUUGUGCUUUUCUAGGAUACAAUAAUUUUCAUAAAGGAUUUGUGUGUUAUGAUGCAAAUGCUCAUAAAAUUCAUCUCUUGAAAUGUAAUUUUUUUUUUAAAUCAGAAUUUUUUCCCUUCUUAUCCCUCUACAAAAUCCACUCCUAUCCAACUUCCCACAUUUGAUGAUCAUAGUCCAUCUUAUAUCUUUGAAUGUUUUAAGCCAGGAAUUGUAUAUCAAAGACGUCAUCCACCAUCCAUUUUGCCCCUUCCGGACACGAAACCGGCAUCUGAUCAUUCCCCUCAACUAAGACGAUCAACUCGAGUUUCACGUGCCCCAAACAGGUAUGGAUACUAUCAGCAACUACUAUUGAUAGUACUUUUGUGCCUAAGACUUAUGCCCAGGCUUCUACCCAAGACUGUUGGCAACAGGCCAUGAAAGAGGAACUUCAGGCUCUUCAGGAUAAUCACACAUGAGAUAUUGUUUCUUGUCCUACCGGAAUUAAACCUAUUGGCUGCAAAUGGCUAUACGAAAUUAAAGCACGGUUGGUGGCUCUUGGAAAUUGUCAGGCAUAUGGUAUUAAUUAUGAGGAGACAUUUGCACCUGUGGCUAAAAUGACUACCAUACGAACCAUUAUGACAAUUGUUGCUUCCAAAAGAUGGCCACUUCAUCAAAUGGAUGUAAAAAAUGCAUUUUUACAUAGAGACUUGAAAGAGAAUAUUUAUAUGACUCCUCCUUCUGGUAUGUUUACUCACUCAUCCGAUAAAGUCUGCUGGUUGAAACGGUCCCUGUAUGGUCUAAAACAGGCACCCCGGGCAUGGUUUGAAAAAUUUCGCACUACUCUUUAGAAACUUAAAUUUAUUCAGAGCCAAUAUGAUUCCUCUAUGUUUCUUCAGCAAACUACUACUGGUAUUGUUGCUCUUCUGGUAUAUGUUGAUGAUAUUAUCAUUACAGGAUCCGACAUUCCACUCAUUGAGGAUUUACAACAUUCUCUUAACAGUGAAUUUCAUAUGAAGGAUCUGGAACACCUUCACUAUUUCCUUGGUCUACCGGUGCACUCUAUGUCCAGUAGGAUUUCUCUACAUCAGCACAAAUACACCCAAGAGAUUCUUCUUUUGGGCGUUCUUGAAUCAGGGAAUAUCGUUCUUACACCUCUCGAGAUUAAUUUAAAACUUUGUCAUAAUGAUGGUGACCUGUUACCUGAUCCCUCCAUAUACAAGCAGUUGGUGGGCAGUUUGAAUUAUCUAACCAUUACUCGGCCAAAUAUUUCUUUUGUAGUACAACAAGUCAGUCAAUUUUUACAGGCUCCUCGUCAACCUCAUUUAGCUGUUGUCCGAAGAAUUCUUCGCUAUCUUAAAGUCACAUCUGGGCGAGGAUAAUUUUUUCCUGCUGAUAAUUCAUUACAAUUAACAAGUUAUAGUGAUGCAGAUUGGGCAGGGUGCGUGGAUACACGUCGGUCUGUUACUGGGUGGUGUAAGUUUCUUGGAAAUGCUUUGAUUUCAUGGAAAAGCAAAAAGCAAGACCGAAUCUCAAAAUCUUCCAUAGAAUCUGAGUAUCGAGCUAUGUCCUCCGCAUGUUCUGAAAUUGUGUGGCUUCAGGGUUUGCUACGUGAACUUGGUUUUCCUCAGCACACUCCUACACCUCUUCAUGCUGAUAACACAAGUGCUAUUUAGAUUGCUACUAAUCAUGUGUUUCAUGAACGCACCAAACAUAUUGAAGUUGAUUGUCACUACAUUCGUGAAGCUUUUGAUCAUAAUAUUCUUACACUACCUUAUAUUUCCACCGAGCAUCAGACAACUGAUGUCUUUACGAAGGCCUUGUCUCGGCCUCGACAUCAACUCAUGAUAGACAAAUUGAUGCUUCUUGAUCGGCUAGCAUCAAUUUGAGAGGGGAUGUCAUUGUAUAUUAUGGCAAGAAUAUCAAUACUAUAUGGCAACCAAAUUGUAACAGAAUAUCUUGUAUUUAUUAUAGACUACAAAUCAGGGAUUAGAGACAGUAAAUUAGUGAUUAUUACAUGUAUUUAGAGGAUUGAAUUCCUCCUUCUGAAGUCAUUAAUUGAGAGAACAAUUUUACAUUGAAAUUUGAUAUUUGUGACAUGUGACUUGGUGAGAUUCUUCAUUUAUUAUUAUUUCCUUGUGGUGGACACAAUGGUUUACGUAGAUGAACUGAAUUCUUGCAUGACAACAACAAAAUAAGUGUGAUUCAGCACUGUCAAGAAAAAGGUAGAGCAGAGCAACCCUUUUUGACGGAGGCUAAUAAGUUGCAAAAGUUAGUAAGAAGUGGCUCAUUGAGCAACCAAUUAGCCAAGAUGUCUUAUUUCAAACCCUCGUACAGAGGAAUGCCGUAUUUUUAUUUUUCUAAGGAACUGCAUUUUUGUCCCCCUCUUCUCCUUCUUUUUUCCUGUUGAAACAGCAACAGGGUACAUCUACUCCAUGUCAAAGUCUAGUCUAUAACCAGACCAGUAAAGAACAUUGACUUACAAGGAGUUCCAUUGAAGUUUCGAUUAUGAGCAGGCAUGCUUCUAUCCCAAUUUACCACUCUGGGUCAGAUUUCACACUUAUCAGAGCACUGUGAUGACAACAGCAGAAACUAUCUAAUUUCCCACCAAACAUAAAGAGAGCUUUGAAUCUACACACCCGCCAGUUAUAAUCAUUCAAGACAGAUAUGUUAGCUAUAGUUAAGGCCAGAGAGAAACACAAGCUAAAAAAAAAUGCACCUUCUAAUUACCGAGAAGCAUGCAGAAAAAAACCUGUAGACAACUCCAAUAUUGGGUGUCAGAUUCUGUAUUUUCUGAACCUGAAACAACAAGCAAUUAAAUACCAUCAACAACCAACUCAAGUUCUAUACUAUCUUGCAAGUUAUAUACCAUCAAUGAAAUAGUUUUUAUUUAAAGGGAUUAAAAUGACAUCUUUUUACCAAAAUUGUUUUUUCCAAAAAACAUUCAAUAAUAUUUAACCAAGUUUUACCCGAGUCCAUAUAAUUUGAAAGUAAUAAAUCAUAUCAAAUUUCUUUAAAUUAUUAAAUUGGAUCCUUAAUUUUCAAUUCGUCAAAUUAUUAAAUUGGAUCUUCAAUCUCUUUUAUAGGGGGUUUGGUGUCACUGCUUAACUUAAUUAUGAUACUAUAUAUAGUGACCAUUUGUGAUAAUUCUGUUGCAGAUUAAAAAUAUUUAGCGACAUUAAAAGUGUCGUUAAAUAUAUUUUGAAGAGCCAUUACAUGUUGUUUUUUGUUUUUUGUAGUGCAACGAUAGUAAAACAUUAUGUUAAUUUUAGCAACACACCGUGACCAAAUCCAAUGAAGAAACCUAAUAAUCAAAGAAAAUUAGAAAUUUUAAAAUUGAUAUUGGAUUUUUAAAGAUUCAGAUAUUAGGUUAACAUCACAUUUACUAUAACCUUUUAAAUAAAAAAUUAUCAUUGUUUAUGUUUUUCUAAAUUAUUUUAUGCUAUUAUAUUUUUAUUUAUAAUUUAUUUAAGAAUAGACACCGGUUUCUUAGAAUAAAAAACUUGUAAAUUUUUUUGUCAUCCCUAAAAACCAAAGAGUCCAUAGCUUGUCAUUUUAUGACACUAGCCUUGCUAUGUAUAUAUAAUCUCCACGGUUAUAAAAACCAAUAUCUAAAUAGAAGAUUUCAUUAAUUUUUUUACAUUAAUCCCUGAAGACAGUAGAUUUUGUAAUUUCUUGAAUUUUAAUAAAAACUUUGAUGUUAAUCCCUUAAGAUAGAAGAUUUCAUCACUUUUUAAGAUUUAAUGAAAAUUUUGAUGAUAUUCACUAAAAUAGAAGAUUUCAUCAUUUUUUUAAUUUAUAACAAAAUUUUGACGUUAUCUCUAAAAAGUUUUUGUUGUAUAGUAAAAUGGUUUUUAUACAGUAAAAUCCAGUUCCCAUACAGUAGUGUAUAACCUUUUCGGUUUUUAGUAUGGUUUGUUUCUUUGGCUGCUUUUCCAAGAUAAAGUCUUCAUCCGUGAUUUCUUGUUUCAGCAUGAUUUCUUUUCUCUUCAGCAAGCUAGAUGUAUGUUUUGUAAAAGAAGAUUUGAAACUUCAAGCCAUCUCUUCAUUCAUUGUGUUUUUGCCUGGAAGUUAUGAAUGAAAUUCCUAUUUUGGUGGGGGAAUUAGUGAUUCUUUCCCAAAUUCUAUUGAUGAUAUAAUCUACAAAUGAUGCAAGGAAAAUUUCAGAAUCUUUCAUGAUGACAACUUCUCUUUUCUUGUAUUGCAUGGAGUCUAUGGCUACAUUGAAAUGAUGUAAUCUUCAAUGAUGCUAUUCCAGAUCUUAAGGGUUGUUUUUACUUUAUCGAUCCUCCACAGGUUCUCCUUAUGGUUGAAGUUUGAUAGCACAACUUUUGCUUACACCGGUUUGGAUUUAGGGAUCAACUCUGAUGGGAUCUUUUUCGGGGAUAACAGAAGUUGACUUCUUGUUUUUAUCUAUUGUCUGGUCCCUGUUUUCUUCUUCCUGUUAUAGAGUAGAUACCGUGAUUUAGGGAUCAACUAAGGUUCACUGUUGGUUUCUAUGCAAGGCAAGAUUGAGAGUUAUGUGAAUAUAUGAGUUGGAAGGUUAGAGUAAAUGCUGGAUGGUAUUUUUUAUUUUUCCCUCUCAUUGGCGCUGCUCACCAAUAGCUCGGGUGCAUUUGAUGCUGAUGGAGAUGGAACCGAAGCUUAUAUAUUCAGCCACUUCACAUGCUUUUUUUCUUUUAACAGUCGAGUGUAUUAUAAGAAAAUGGCUAAAAAGAUAAUAGCCUAGCAUCCAGAAGUUCUAGCUGACCACAAAAAAAAAAAAAAAAAGCAAACAAGCUUUAGAGGUUUUGAAACAGGGGAAGGAAAACAGUGUGGGAAAAGGAAAAAAACAAUUGAAAUCAGCUCCUCCUUUUUACAAAACCAAUGCCAUCAUAGCUGUUAUGAACAUCCUCGCCAGCAGAGUCUGGAGAAUUGGUAUCAAGUCUCAGCCAUAAUGAGAAACUGCCGAAGAUCAAGGAAAAACAGCUUUGAAGGUUUGGAGCAGCCCUAUUAAAGAUGAUAUCUCCAUAGAAAACCAUUAGUAGUACAUAUCAUCAAUCGAUUUUGUGAAAACAUUGAUAAUACCCCACCGUGAAGGAAUUUCAUUCAUAGAUGCCAAGCAAAGUGGCAGUGGAUGAAGAGGUGACUUGAAGAUUCCAGGUUUUUAUUACAAAAAACACAUCUAGAAGCCACUUCAGAUGCUCAUGAUGAUAUUACAUGUUUCUUCUCUCUGAAUUCAUACAAUCUUUCUUUCAUACACUUCCAUAUUUUUCAGAAAAGAUUGAGGAUGAAGAUACACCAAAUUUAGAUUGCAUCAGAGGUUGCAGUCACUAUCUUUACACGGGGUUGGCUUUUUUUACUUGCUAAAGAUGGCUAACUGUAAUUAGAAUGUUUCUUCUUUUCAAAGUAAUAAAUCUCUGAGUCCUUACAUCUCUAGUUAAUUAUAACUACCUUACCGGUCAUAAUGCUCUUUUCUAUACCUGAUGAAUGAUAUUAUUUCUGAGAUUUUUGAACAUGUAAUGACGGAAGCCUGCGGUGGAUUGGUUCCCUUUGUUACGUUACUGGAGUCGCAAUGUUUCGAGGUAUCUGACCAAAUUAAUUCUCUUGCUUUUUGCAGCAAAUCUGUAUCUCUUGCUACUUGCUAGAGGCGUACUCCCAGGCUACCACUGUUUUGGUGUUGCCUCUCUUACCAUUGUUAUUAGGUUGAAUUAAUUAAAUACCAGAAGAUUUCUGGAUGUGUAAUGACUGUAUGAUUAAACUUACCAGUGCACUGUCAAGGCUGUGGCGCAUGAACUUCAUUCGCGGGCGUGCGUCACCACUGUUCCACCGUGUGCCGUCGCAGCCUUCACCAAUUCCAGUAGCUCCAGUUUUUUUCUCCAUUGCCUCCAUUGAAGGUCCAAUUUUCGAGCUCACAAAACAUGACAUCUUGAGUUUAUUUUUCACGAAUUAUGUUUGUGUUUUGACAAAUCCAACAAUUAUGAUUUGAUUUAGUUGUUUCUAGUUAUGGGACACAAUGUUGUGUUUUUUUAUUAAAAAAAAGAAGAAAAGAAAACAGAGAGAAUGCUAAAAAGAAAGUCACAGCUGCAUGUGAUAGAAUACAUGUAAGUAGGAAAUAAAAUCCAACUCAAGAAUAGAUUACAAAUGAGUUCAAUCCAUUUACAGAAAAAGGGUAUAUAGAAUAUAUUUGUCUGAAGAAUCCCCUGUCUGGAAGUUCUUUGAAUGGGGCUGUGAUGGCAUUUAGAAAGCACAAGCACUAGGGGUCUUGUCUUUCACUAGCAGAAACAUAUUUAUUGUUGAAGAUUUUUUGUGUUAGGUUUAGAUAACUUUAUUUGGAUUUAAUCCACUAAAUUGGUGGGUAUCAUCUCUUAUAGAUGAUACUUUAGCUUCCAAGUCUACCAUUCUCUCAUUUAUUUGGAUGUGUUUUGUAGGGUAGAUAUGGUUGUUUUUCAAAAUGUUUUUUAAUUGAAAAUGCUUUAAAAUAAUUUUUUAAAUAUCAGUUUUUACAUCAACAAUAUAUCAAAAUGAUCUAAAAAUAUUUAUAAAAAAUUAAUUUAAAAUAAAUAAAUAAAAUUUAAAUUUAAAAAAAAAACAAAACACUUACACAAAAACAAAUAGAAUCUUGCUGUGAAUAACAGAAUUUGGUGCUAAAUUUCUUGUUGUGAAUUGCAGAAAACAGUUGCUUGAUCUGCACUAGGAUGGCAAUAGCAAGGUAAUGGAGGAUGUGAGAAAGGUAUAUCCAAGUCGUGCUUCUUUUUUGUAUCUUUCUCCUCAUCCACUAACUCUUGCUUCUUUUUUUCCCGUGAAAAAAUGGAGAGCCGAAAAUAGAUUUGUUAAAAAAUGGAGUUCCUGCAGAUUCCAAUUAAAGAGUUCUGUCUUUCUCCUGUAAUCAUCAAAACAAAUGUUAGGGAUGUGAGAAAUCUUUUGCCAAUCUUCACCCAUCUCCUCCUCCCCGUAACGUUUCUUAAUGGGGCAUCUACUUAUGUCCAGUUCCUGUAGAGGCGCUGCCAAAACAUAGUCUGGUAGUGCUCUCAACAACGGGCAAUUUCAAUAUCAAUCUCGAAGUUGUGGCAUAAUGGAUAUAUUGAAGUUGUGUUGGCAUCUUCUUCUCCCACUCUCCUUCCAAUUCCAUCCCACUCUUCUACUUCUUCGAGAUCCAAAUCAAGUUUUUAAUUUGGGGAAAGCAGUGACCCUUGCAAUUUCUCCUUCAUUAAUACUGGCAUUCUCAUCUUUUUCUAUACCUAAAAAUCCAGCAUCCAACCUUCUCACCUUCAACGACCUCAAACCAGGCUUUCAAGGUUGGGCAAUCUCCCAACGGAGGCAAGACCUCCAGUUCACAAUAACAGAGUUUAAGCUCCUGUAAUCUGGUUAAUGUCAUCAUCCAAUUUGGCAAAUCCAACCCUCCGUACCUAGAUAUGGUUAGAUUUCCAAGUCUGACGGAGGCGUAAAGCUUCAAUUAAAAGCCGUUCUUGCCGGCUCUGUGUCGAAACCAAUAGCAAACAAGCAGGCGCUUCUUAUUCUUGAGUUGUGCUUCUGCAGCGUCACUCGCAUCUUCUACCUCCCCGUAGAUUCCAUAUCUUAAGACUCCCUCCAAUGUGAUUUAAGUUUUUUAAUUCUCUUAGAUUAGCUGCUUUACUUUCAUUCUCACCACCACCACACACAGUAAACACAUCUAAUGUUCGAAGACAUGUUAUCCUCUCUAUUCCCUUUGGUAUGAAGGCCACUCCUGAACCAUAAAUCCGGAGAUGCCUCAAUUUGAUAAGUUUUCCAAUCGCCUUGGCAAUUCCUUGAGAACCACACCAAGUAACGUCUAGGGAUUGCAGAUUGCAUAAAUCACACAUGGUUUCUGGCAGGGACUCCAACUUAACAAAUGCCAAAUUGAGGUGUCUCAAAUGUAUCAAUUUCCCUACCUCGUUUGGUAUUUCUUUGAUUGAAGACCUUGACAAAUUCAAUGACCUGAUGCAUGUCAACUGCUUGAACAAAUCAGGCAGUGCAGCUCCAAGCGAAGGGUCUCUAGUGUCGAUCAAGAGGCUGCGAAGACCUUUUGCUUUGUGAAUGGACACGGGAAAAGAGGUCUCUUGACAGCAUCAUGCUUAAAUGACGAACCCUUUCAAUUGAAGUCUCCAUUGUUGCUCCUGAAGGUUAUUGACAUCCACUGUUAGACAUUCAUUUUUUGUCAUAUAUUGGGCAAAAUCAUGCACUAUAUCAUGCAUCUUGAAUCUAAUAUCUUCUGAUCAUACGUCUUAAAUCUUGGAAGAAAGAGCGCGCUGCUAAGACUUGAAAGUACUGCUCUCCAACAAGCUCCAUAUCUCCACCUGAAGUCUCCUUGAGGUAACCUUGAGCUAUCCACAUCUUCACCAAUUCUAUUUCCCAUCUCGUAGUCUUUUGGAAACAUGGCACAAUACAAGAAACAUCGUCUUACCACAGAAGGUAAAUCGUAGUAACUCAAAAGCAAAGGUAGAAAUAUUCCUCUUUCAACCUGAUCUCUAUCAACCUCAUCUAGCCCCACAAUUCGCUAGAUAAAACACGCUCCCACUCUUCUCUUGUUCUUUUAGACUGCAUUAGACCUCCUAAUACCUUGGCAGCUAGAGGCAAGCCCUUGCACUUGCUUGCAAUUUUUCGCCGAUAUCUGUCAAUCUUUCGCGCUCAUCUUUGCUUCUUUCCUGGAAUGCCACAUGAUUGAAUAUUGACCUGCAUAUCUCAUCGGACAAUUUCUCAAUGUUGAUCCGGUGGUCAGUUCCCAUCAUCGUUGCCACAGAAUGUUUACGAGUGGUCACUAGAAUUCUGCUUCCUGGUGCACGCCUGUGAGAGAUGGUUUCAGUUGUUCCCAUUGUCCAUGAUUUUCUGUCCAUACAUCAUCAAGGACAAGAAGGAACCUCUUUCCCUUAAUGGAUUCAGAAACCCUUUGCAAAAGGGAUUGCAAUUCAACCAAAUCGUGCCUCCCUUCAAGCUGCUCAAGGAUAGCUUUGGCUAUUCUAACCUCAUCAAAUGGAUCUGAACACACACCCAUAUCUUUUUCUCAAAAUGAGCCGUAACCUCAGCAUCAUUAAAAGCUAGUUGGGCGAGAGUUGUUUUUCCAAUUCCGCCCAGCCCUACUAGAGAGAUGACAUCCACGUCCCGUGCUUCCUGACUACUUUCCCAGCAACUUGCUUACUACAGCUUCCCUUUCAUCAUCUCGACCAUCACGAUUGAUUCAUCAACAAGGGAGGUACUUGUUAUUCGUUGGAGUUCAUCAGUGGCUCUGUACAACUCAAAGCCAUACAUAGCUCUCUCUUUGGCAAUCUCAUCCACUUUUUCACAUACUUCUUUGAUCUUGAGGGCAAUGUCGCGACGUCGACCACUUGAUUGAAACAAAAGCAAGGAGAUCCCAGGAAGGAACAUCCAUCUUCUGUAGGCUGUGAGUAUUUUCUUCAGCAUCCCCCAUUUUCCAUCUAAGAAUUGCAGAGCUCCAUUCAUCUAGCACGUCAUCCAUAUCAUAACAUACAUCUUUGAGCUUGUCUACCCAAUCUCUUACUGCCUCAUCCUUCACUUGUUUUCUAUCUGCAUCUUCAAGGACAGAGUGAAUAGCAAGGAGAUUGCUUUUCAGCUUGUCGACUUGUUUCUUCACACCCACUACUAGGUUCACCUCUUCUUGUACCUAUUAGUGUAGAAAAGAUAAGGAAGUUCAAGUAGAGGAAACAUUUCUAUGAUUUCACUGCAAAUUUUUAAUUUUAAUGUUUUGUAAUUAAUAGAUUAGCAGUAGUUGACACGUACUGUGAAAUGGAUUGGCUAUAUUAAUAAUUUAUAUAUAAAAUAUUUAUUAAAAACCUAUAUAUUAAAGAUAAUAAUAUUUCUUUUUAUCAUCAUCAUGAUGAUAUCUGUCUGCAGUCUGCUACUAACAAGAUGGAAGAUAAUGAAUCAUAAAAUUGUUCGACGUCAAACCUAUAAAUAACAUAAGCUUGCUGGAUCAAAGAAAUAUAGAGUAUAAAAGGAUCUGUAUUUGUUGGUAUUUGUAAAGUCUAUAGUUUUAAAGUGAAAAUAUUCUUCCUUUAUAACACUCACUAAUUAUUUUAACAUUUGAUUGAUUAUUUUACAGUUUAAUGAGAGGAUCGACAACUCCCUUUUCCUUCUAAGAAUAUUUGUUUUAGAUUAUUUCCGGAAAUAUGAAAAAUAAUAAUAUAAUAAAGAGAAAUUUCUUUAAUAAAAUACAAAUCUAGAUCUGAGGAUUUGAUAUUUUAUUUUAUUUUUCUUAUAAAGGAAGAAAAAAGACUUCAUUUUUAUAUUUCUUAUUCAUGUUAGGGCUAAUCAGAUCAUUGCAAAUUGUACGAAGUAAUUACCUCUUGAGCAACAAUCCUCGUUAACUGCUCCAAAAUUGGCGAUAAAAGUGCCGCUGCCAUCUGUCUGUUUAAUUUAAUUUAAUUUAAUUAUUUUUGAAAAAGAGACAAUGAUGAUAGGAUGAACUAAGAAAGAGAGAGAAGAGAGUCUGAGUGGAAGGAGGCUGCUGGUUUAUUAGUUAGUUUAUGUACUUAGGGUUUGGUGUGGAGGGUUGAGUUUUGUUUCAGUCCCUGUACUGUUUCUAACACUUCGAUUCAGUCCCUAUAUUAUUGUAGCUUUUCAGUCUAGUCCUGGUUGUAUGUUUCUACUGAGAAUGACAUGCCAUUUUGAGUUCCAAAGGUGAAAUACUCGUGCUUUUCUAACUUUUCCUGGCUAAGGAUUAUUAUUUGUGGAAAGUAAUUUCUUCUUCGAUAUAUAGCAGUUAUUUUGGAUUGAUACUGACCUUAGGUUAAGAAUGCUGAAGUUUCUAUUGAUUAUAGCAAUCUACUGAAAUCCCUGCUUCUCGUCUGCUUCUCUAUUUCUUCUCUUCAUUUUAUGUUAUUCCACUAAUCUUCCAAACUGGAUCAUGGUAAUAUAUAUCUGUCCAUCCAAACUAAUUUACACAAACCAAAAGUAGUAACCAAUUAGUUCUUGUGUAAUGGAAAUACAAACAAGCAUCUAUCUAUCUGGGUUUUUGAGAUCUGGUGAUUUUAUCCUGUUUUCAUAGCAGGGACUGGGGUUUGAUAUUGAUCUUUGAUUUUUGGGUCCGAAAAUGGAUGGUCCAGAUUUGUUGAGGUUGUAUGAUUGGAUUUGUUGAUGGUGCUUGAGAUGAUGCUGUAAAGUAUUUUCUUAUAUAUUUUCUGAUUUUCUGGAGGAAAGGAAAGGACUACAUCACCUUCCUAUCGAUUUUUCUAUCUGCAUCCAUAUACAUUUUGCAAUUAAGUCAUUAUGCUUUAAACUCAUUCCAUGUGCCUUCCCUUACAAGAAAAAAAAGAAAAAGAAAAAACAAGCCCAGGGUACUCAGCUUGGGCUUGGGUUCCCUCAUUAUGACUUGGUGAAUUGGGCAAUCUAAAUACUUUUGGGCUCUGUUUUAAUGGGUUCCAAGGGGAAGAAAACACAACGAUUCUUGAACAAGGAUUUGUGUCCCGUGCGCACUUGAACGAUGGGGGUCUGUUUGCAUUUUGUCAAAAGAGAUGAAAUUCUAAUCAAUGAUGAUGAUGAAAAAAAUAAAUAUAUAAAUUACUAUGUGCAUUCUAUAAUUUAGUUAUAUAAUAUAGUAGAUCUUUACAAAUUAGUAAUUUCAACUUACCAGUAGAAAAAUUAUAGUAGAUCUUUACCAUGAUAUUAUCGAAAUAAAUAAAUAAAUAAAAAUAGAUACACUUCAACACGUCCAUACACUCUUUACCAUGAUAUUAUGUAAAAUGUUAUUCUGAAGUGCCAAGACGGCUUCCUUGAAUUGCAAUAGUAUUUCGAUGUCUUGGUAGUUGAAUUUUUCUCAAUGAGCUCCAGGAAACUCUGUAAUUCUGAUUCUUGCCACCAAGUAACUUCAGGGCAGUCUGGAAAGGAUUUUCAAUGUACUUAUGUUCUUGAUGGAAUCUAAUUAUAAUUCUUAAAAACUUUUCAAUGUACUUCUGGCUUUUAAGCAAGCCUUGUCAGAACAAGAGUCUUGUGAUUAAAUUGUUUCUUCAACUCAAAUAGAUCCCUGAAAAUUAGAAAGGGGAGGCUUAUAAUUAAAUAAUAAAUGACACCAGGGGUAACAACUUAUACCCUGAUAAUCUACUAAUAGACUGACAUGCUGUAUCCAAGAAAUUAUUCCACCCCGUUUUUGGGCUGUGUUCAGAAAAUUAUUACAACCCAUUUUUGGGGUUCAACUUCGGUAUUGUUUAUUAUGUUGUUCGCCUUUUUUAAAUUGUGUUUUUUAAAAUAUAUUUUAUAAUCUUAAUGAAAAAAAAUAUAAAAAUAUAUUUUUAAUUAAAAAAUACUUUUAAAAAAGAUCAUAUCUUGCAUUACUAAACACACAUAUAAUAGAAUACUCGAGGGAUUUUUUUAUAAGCCAAGACUAAAUUUAUUAUUGCUAUUAUUUUAAAGUUCAUUCGUAUUUGUAUUAAACACAUACUAAUUUUCUCUUGAAAUAUGAAAGCAAAAUCCAAAAAAAAAUAAAAUGAAUGCUAAUCAAUAAAAAACAUAUGAAUUUUUUUUAUUUGAGAAUAAAGAAUUUUUUAAAUUUUUUUAUAAAUUAAUUAAAAUUAACCAUUAUUUACAUUAUUUAAGAGCAUUAAAGAAAUUUUUUAAAAAAACUUAACAAAUCUAAAAUUAGAAGUUAUUGUAGUUCUAAAUACUUCCGAGUAUUUAAUUAAUUUUAUUUUUGGAUAUGUUUUUAAAAUAUAUUUUAUUUAAAAAAUAUUAUAUUAAGUUUUUAAAUAUUUUUAAUGAUUUUUAUGUAUUAAUAUUAAAAUGGCAUGUCAUUCUCAGUAGAAACAUACAAUUAAAUUUCAUUAACAGCCAUCUCAAGUUCUAUACUAUCUUGCAAGUUGUAUAACAUCAAUGAAAAAUUUUUUAUUUAAAGGGGUUAAAAUGACAUCUUUUUACCAAAAUUGUUUUUUCUAAAAAAAAUUCAAUAAUAUUUAACCAAGUUUUACCCGAGUCCAUAUAAUUUGAAAGUAAUAAAUCAUAUCAAAUUUCUUUAAAUUAUUAAAUUGGAUCCUUAAUUUUUAAUUUGUCAAAUUAUUAAAUUGGAUCUUCAAUCUCUUUUAUAGGGGGUUUGGUAUCACUGCAUAACUUAAUUAUGACACUAUAUAUAGUGAUCAUUUGUGAUAAUUCUGUUGCAGAUUGAAAAUAUUUAGCGACACUAAAAGUGUCGUUAAAUAUGAGAGCCAUUACAUGUUGUUUUUUGUUUUUUGUAGUGCAACGAUAGUAAAACAUGAUGUUAAUUUUAGCAACACACCGUGACCAAAUGCAACGAAGAGAGUCGAAACCUAAUAAUCAAAGAAAAUUAGAUAUUCUAAAAUUGAUAUUGGAUUUUUAAAGAUUCAGAUAUUAGGUUAACAUCACAUUUACUAUAACCUUUUAAAUAAAAAAUUAUCAUUGUUUAUGUUUUUCUAAAUUAUUUUAUGCUAUUAUAUUUUUAUUUAUAAUUUAUUUAAGAAUAGACACCGGUUUCUUAGAAUAAAAAACUUGUAAAAUUUUUUGUCAUCCCUAAAAACCAAAGAGUCCAUAGCUUGUCAUUUUAUGACACUAGCCUUGCUAUGUAUAUACAUAAUCUCCACGGUUUUAAAAACCAAUCUCUAAAAUAGGAGAUUUCAUUAAUUUUUUUACAUUAAUCCCUGAAGACAUGCAGUAGAUUUUGUAAUUUCUUGAAUUUUAAUAAAAACUUUGAUGUUAAUCCCUUAAGAUAGAAGAUUUCAUCACUUUUUAAGAUUUAAUGAAAAUUUUGAUGAUAUUCACUAAAAUAGAAGAUUUCAUCAAUUGUUUCUUUGGCUGCUUAUCCAAGAUAAAGUCUUCAUCCGUGAUUUCUUGUUUCAGCAUGAUUUCUUUUCUCUUCAGCAAGCUAGAUGUAUGUUUUGUAAAAGAAGAUUUGAAACUUCAAGCCAUCUCUUCAUUCAUUGUGUUUUUGCCUGGAAGUUAUGAAUGAAAUUCCUAUUUUGGUGGGGGAAUUAGUGAUUCUUUCCCAAAUUCUAUUGAUGAUAUAAUCUACAAAUGAUGCAAGGAAAAUUUCAGAAUCUUUCAUGAUGACAACUUCUCUUUUCUUGUAUUGCAUGGAGUCUAUGGCUACAUUGAAAUGAUGUAAUCUUCAAUGAUGCUAUUCCAGAUCUUAAGGGUUGUUUUUACUUUAUCGAUCCUCCACAGGUUCUCCUUAUGGUUGAAGUUUGAUAGCACAACUUUUGCUUACACCGGUUUGGAUUUAGGGAUCAACUCUGAUGGGAUCUUUUUCGGGGAUAACAGAAGUUGACUUCUUGUUUUUAUCUAUUGUCUGGUCCCUGUUUUCUUCUUCCUGUUAUAGAGUAGAUACCGUGAUUUAGGGAUCAACUAAGGUUCACUGUUGGUUUCUAUGCAAGGCAAGAUUGAAAGUUCUGUGAAUAUAUGAGUUGGAAGGUUAGAGUAAAUGCUGGAUGGUAUUUUUGAUUUUUCCCUCUCAAUGGCGCUGCUCACCAAUAGCUCGGGUGUAUUUGUGCUGAUGGAGAUGGAACCGAAGCGUAUAUAUUGGCUUUUUUUACUUGCUAAAGAUGGCUAACUCAGUAACAGAAGAGAUUUUCUAUUUCAGCAUGACUACCUUACCCUUAAGGAAUCAAGAUGUGCUUCAUGCAAUAAAAGCUUGGAAUCUUCAAUUCACUUCUUCAUUUAGUAUCACUUCACUUUGAAUAUAUGGAUGAAAUUGCUUUUUAAUCAGGGCUUUUGUAGUGCUUUUUCAAAAUAUAUUGACAAUAUGUGUUACCAAUGGUCUUCCAUGGUUAAAGACAAGCAACAAAAUCUCUUAUAACAGCUUAUUUUCUCAUGUAUUGUAUGGAAUAUGUGGCUCCACUGAAAUGAUGUCAUUUUUAAUGACGCUGCCCCUAACCUUCAAAUCUAUUUUUUCAUGAUGCGUCAAAGUAUUGCUUCAUGGCUGAGGCUUCAUUCUAGCUUUUUAAAGCUUAAUAUAGAGAAUGUUCAGUAGGGAGGAAAUGAUUUUUUAUGUUUUUUAUUUGUUCCUCCUAAUUGUUACGCUCCCUUGUUUCAUGCAGCAGCUUUUAUGCUUUUUUUUUUCUUUAUUUAUUCAUCUAAUGUAAAUUAUGCUAUUAUCUUAAUACCCAUUUUCUUAAUAAAAAUUUCGAUUAUUACCAAAAAAAAAGAUGGCUAACUGUAAUUAGAAUGAUGGUAAAUGUUUCUUCUUUUCACAGUAACAAAUCUCUGAGACCUUACAUCUCUAGUUAAUUAUAACUACCUUACCGGUCAAAAUGUUCUUUUUCUGUACCUGAUGAGUGAUAUUAUUUCUGAGAUUUUUGAACAUGUAAUGACGGAAGCCUGCGUUGGACUGGUUCUCUUUGUUACGUUACUGGAGUCGCAAUGUUUCGAGUUAUCGGACCAAAUUAAUUCUCUUUCUUUUUGCAGCAAAGCUGUAUCUCUUGCUACUUGCUAGAGGCGUAAUCCCAGGCUACCACUGUUUUGGUGUUGCCUCUCUCACCAUUGUUAUUAGGUUGAAUUAAAUACCAGAAGAUUUCUGGAUGUGUAAUGACUGUAUGAUUAAACUUACCAAUGCACUGUCAAGGCUGUGGCGCGUCAACUGCAUGUGCCGGCGGGCGUCACCAUUGUUCCACCAUGUGCCGUUGUAGCCACUAAGUGGCCAAGAUUUUUUAAAUGAGAAGGUAAAUUACUAAUAAAUAUUUGAUAUUAUGUAUUAUGUAUACAUGCAUUAUAUAGAAAAAUCAAUUUGAAAUAUAUGUACUAACUCAUAUUAAAUGAAAUUAAUUUAAGAGUACUUUUAAAAUGAUAAAAAAAUUACAUUAUAAUUGUUCUUUUCGGGUUUUUAUAUUUUGAAACUGUUUCAUAAUAACUUCAUUAUCAAUCUCAUUAAAGAUAUUUUUCUAAAUUUAUAUAAUUAAAUUGUCAUUUAUCCACUUAUCUCCUAUCUUAUAUUGCAAUCUACUCUUGAAAACAUUCAUGACAGAUAAAACUAUUUUCACUAUAGCAGUUACAACUAGUAAAAAUAAUGACAAUUUGAUAAGUAUAUAUACCAAUAAAAAUAUUAAAUUCUUCUUUGUUUUUACCAUUUAAUUUCUCCUCAAGACUAGCGGCAAUAAAAAGUUCUCUCUGACUAGAAAGUUUCAAAUGGUAGAAGGUAAACUCUUUAAUAUUACAGAGGAGCUAAUGAAUCAAAGAAUCGAACAUAGAAAGUUUUGAUGGUAUAAACACAAACCACGGAAGCAGCAAUAAAAAGUGCUCUCUGGCUCUAUGGUUUCCUUCUUUAUAUGCGUUGAUUAGUUUUUUUUUUUGCCAUAGAAUAAAAUCAUCAGAUGUCCCUUUACUUCUUUAUCUGUUAAACAUGAAUAAAAGAAAAAUUUGAGACAACCAGCUUAUAAUUCAAACACCAAAAGUGUUUUUUAAUAGAUUCAAAGAUUAAAAAAAAUUACUUUGAACUUUGCAAGGAGAGAAUGUAGAUAGUCACAGUAGAACACAUUAAUAUAUUGUCUCUUGAUUUUUUAUCUUUUACAAAAUAUAACUUAAGUUAUUAUAUUAAUAUUUUAACGUAAAAAUUAAUUUUUUUUUUAAAAGAAGGGGGCAGCUGGCCCCUUAUGCCCCAGUGGCUCCGCCCCUGGCAGCCACCACCAAUUCCAGCAGCUCCAGCUUUUUUCUCCAUUUCCUCAUGUCCAAAUUUCAAGCUCAGCAUGACAUUUUGAGUUUAUUUUUCAUGAAUUAUGUUUGUAUUUUGACAAAUCCAACAAUUAUGAUUUGAUUUAGUUGUUUCUGGUUAUGGGACACAAUGUGGUUUUUUUUAUUAAAAACAAAAAACAGAGAGAAUGCAAGAAAGAAAGUCACAGCUACAUUUGAUAGAAUAAAUGUAAGUAGGAAAUAAAAUCCAACUCAAGAAUAGUUACAAAUGAGUUCAAUCCAUUUACAGAAAAAGGGUAUAUAAAAUAUAUUGGUCUGAAGAAUCCUCUGUCUGGAAGUUCUUUGAAUGGGGCUGUGAUGGCAUUUAGAAAGCAGAGGAACUAGGGGGCUUGUAGCAGAAAUCAUAUUUAUUGUUGAAGAUUUUUUUGUGUUCGGUUUAGAUAACUUUAUUUGGAUUUAAUCCACAAUGGGUAUCAUCUCUUAUAGAUGAAUGGUUAAGCUUCCAAGUCUACCAUUCUCUCAUGUAUUUGGAUUUAAUCCACUGAAACUGAGGUUUAAGAAUUUCUUGUUGUGAAUUGCAGAAAACAGUUGAUUGAUCUUCACUAGGAUGGCAAUUGGAAAUGAAUGGAGGAAGCAUCAAGAUCAGUGGCUUGUUUGAAGGCAGAUAGACCCUUUGAUCGUGAGAUGAUGCCUUUAGAUGAGAAAGGAUGUGAGAAAGGUAUAUCACAGCUGCAUUUGAUAGAAUAAAUGGUAAGUAGUUUGUUUUUUAAUUAAGUAUUUCAAUAUGGCAAAGAUAGGGUGUAAUUUACCAUACUUUAGUCUUAUUCCAUUCAAUAUAAUUAUGGAUACUAUAGAGCAUAUACGUACUUUGAUCUUAAUUAGUCCUUGGCUUAAAACGAAUUUGGUGCAGAUACAGAUUCUAAAGACGUCCAACUCCAACAAGCCCUAAAAGGACAUCAUUGGAUAAAUACCAAGGAGCUUGUGCAUGAGCAUUGUUUUGUUCACUCUGUGGCAGAGGCCUCUCCACAACUUCUCAGCAGGAAAGCUAUUAUUUAAGUUGCAACGCAGUGCGGUUCUAUAAACUAACUAGUUUAUAGCAAUUGCAAAUGAAUGGACCCUUUGAUCGUUAGAUUAUGCCUUUAGAUGAGGCUCGACAUUAUAGAGGCAUAAAAGAGAGAGAGAUACAUCACAGCUGCUUUUGAUAGAGUAAACAGGUCACAUAUUAUUUACACUCAACCUUAGCAAACACCAAAGCAAAUAAUUAAUACACUCAAAGCGAAAAAAUAAUGUGAGAAAUCUUUUACCAAACUGCACCCAUCUUCUCAUCCCCGUAACGAUUCGUUAGAAUGGGGCUCCUUCUUAUGAUUAAUUCCUGUAGAGGCGCUGCCAAAACAUAGUCUGGUAGUGCUCUCAACAACGGGCAAGUAUCAAUAAUCAACUCUUGAAGUUGUGUUGGCAUCUUCUUCUCCCACUCUCCUUUCAAUUCCAUCCCACUCUUCUACUUCUGUGAGAUCCAUAAUCCAAAGUUUUUUCAAUUUGGGGAAAGCAGUGACCCUUGCAAUUUCUCCUUCACUAAUACUGGCAUUCUCAUCUUUUUCUAUACCUAAAAAUCCAGCAUCCAGCCUUCUCACCUUCAUCGACCUCAAUACCAGGCUUUCAUGGUUGGGCAAUCUUCCCAACGGAGGCAAGACCUCCACGUUUGUACAAAGACCGAGUGUAAGCACCUGUAAUCUGGUUAAUGUCAUCAUCCAAUUUGGCAAAUCCAACCCUCCGUACCUAGUUAUGGUUAGAUUUUCCAAGGAUGACGGAGGCUGUAAAACUUCAAUUAAAAUGUUGUUCUCCCGGUUGAAGUUGAAAUCCAAUUGCAAACAAAGUAGGCGAUUCUUAUUCUUGAGUUGUACUUCUUUCAUUGUCUUUUUCUACUCUUUCAUAAUUUAAGGCACUUCUUUCUUCUUUUAGCUAGAAACAUAAUGCAGAUGCAGAGAGUGAAGAGUCGACAUGCAGAUGCAGGAACAUAGGAAGAGAGUUGUUUGGUUACUAAAAUAAGGGCUAGGGUUAUGAAAUCUGGAAAUUGAAAUUCGGAUCGAAAUUAGUGAGGAAAUCAGCAUGCUAGAUUCAGCAGCGUUUGGGGUCAGAAUGGCAUUGUUGGGAAUAAGACAACAAAUUAUGCGUAGCUUAGCAGCCAUUGUUGCUGCUUCAGGAACACCAAACUCCCUUGUCAAAAAACUGCAUUCAUAUGCAUUUUGCAAUUAAGGCAUUAUGCUUUAAACUCAUUCUAUUUGCCUUCCCUCACACAAAAAAGAAAAAAAAAAGGUUAUUUGCUGUCGUCACUGGAUUAGUUUCAAACCCAAAAGUCUCGUUGCGUUCUGUUUCAAUUCAGUCAGUCUUUAUUAGUCAAUGCUUCGCUGCACUGAAAAAACACCAUAUGCACCUCAUUGCAGAGUGAGGUCAUAUGUCCUACAAAAAUGGAUUUUGAACAUAAUAAUUAGAAGGAAAAAAAAAUUAAAAGUGAGCAUAAUUGAUCAUCGUGGAUAUAAUAAUAAUAUUUAAUAAAAUGAAUUAGCUUGUUAACUCCUAGAAGUUUUUAUAAAAACUAAUCUUGAAGUACAAGUAAUCCCUUCGCUCAUCAACUUCGCUGUGAAAAAGCCCAGAGUACUCAGCUUGGGCUUGUGUUCCCUCAUUAUGACUUGGUGAAUUGGGCAAUCUAAAUACUUUUGGGCUCUGUGUUUUAAUGGGUUCCAAGGGGAAGAAAACACAACGAUUCUUGAACAAGGAUUUGUGUCCCGUGCGCACUUGAACGAUGGGGGUCUGUUUGCAUUUUGUCAAAAGAGAUGAAAUUCUAAUCAAUGAUGAUGAUGAAAAAAAUAAAUAUAUAAAUUACUAUGUGCAUUCUAUAAUUUAGUUAUAUAAUAUAGUAGAUCUUUACAAAUUAGUAAUUUCAACUUACCAGUAGAAAAAUUAUAGUAGAUCUUUACCAUGAUAUUAUCGAAAUAAAUAAAUAAAUAAAAAUAGAUACACUUCAACACGUCCAUACACUCCUUUUUUAAAAAAUAAUUAUAAUAAAAUUAAUUAGUUAUUAAUUAUAAAAAUCAGACCUAUGAGUUAUGUCUAAGCUGUUGAAAAUAGUAAAGAUAAAGUAAUUAGAAGUGACAAUGAAAUUAUUAGUUGAUCAUCGAGUUGUUUUACUAGAAUCCAAAUCACUUAGCUCAAAUUACUAAUAACAAUUAUAAAUUUACACCAAAUUUGAACAAAUUUCUACCAGCCGAUGUGACUAAACUCAAAUCACUCCUAGGAAUCUUAAUAUAAACCCAUUUACUACUAGACCAGCACCUCUUUGGCUAAAAUCCACGUUGCUUUCCCACACCAAUCAUCAGCUUCUUCAAUUACAGUGCUACAAGUCCAUGUCUCUAUACCUAUUGUAACAUAUUCUACAAACAUACUGUUUUACUGUAGACUGCAAUGUUUUAAGUGUUUUUUUUUUAUUAAGUUGUUUUAUUUUUUUUAACGGUUUUUUUUAUGUCUUUCAGAAUAUUUUUUUUGCUUCGUUCUUUGUUUUUUUUUCUUUUAACAAAAGUUUUUUGUUUAAUUUAGUUUAUUAAUGUUUAAUUUUUUUAUUUAUUUAUCAGACUUUCAUGAUACAUUUUCCAGAUUUAACGGGUUAACCUGGUUUGACAAGUUAACCCAUAAUUUUUUUUUUUGCUUUUUUUAAAUUAAUUUUUUUGCUUUAGUUUAUUUUAUUAAUGUUAAAUUUCUUUCUAUUUAGUUAUCAGACUUUCAUGACAUAUAUCUAGAGUUUCACGGGUUAACACGGUUUGACGGGUUAACAUGGAUUUUUUAUUAUUUUUUUCUUUUUAAUUAAUUUUUUUCGUUUAGUUCAGUUUGUUAAUGUUCACUUUUUUUUUUAUUUCGUUACCAUACAUUCAUGACACAGAUCCCGGGUUUAACGGGUUAACCUGGUUUGACAAGUUAACCUGAAAUUUUUUUUUUUUGCUUUUUUUUUUUUAAAUUUAGUUUAGUUUGUUAAUGUUAAAUUUCUUUCUAUUUAGUUUUUUUUUCUUCAUAGAGGUUUUUUUCUUUUAUUUUUUCUUUUUAAUUAAUUUAGUUUAUUAAUAUUAAAUAUUUUUCUAAUUAGUUCUCGGCUAAUGCCUUUAGUUUUUCUUUUUGUUUCUUUUUGUUGUUUUUUUGCCUUUGACUGUGGACUGCACAAUGCAGUCCACAAUAAAAAGGUUGAUGCCUUUUGUUUUUUUUUUCUUUUUAAUUAAUUUUUUUUGUUUAAUUUAAAUUAUUAAUGUUAAAUUUUUUUUCUAUUUAGUUAUCAAACUUUCAUGAUACGAAUUCUGAGUUUGACAUGUUAACCUGAUUUGACGAGUUAGCCCAGUCAACUCAAUGAAUCACACAGAUAAAUUACACGGAAUCAGUAAAAUCAAAAUAAAACGUGUUAAUCUACUUUCUUAUGUUAUGAAAGGAGAUGAAUCCAACAAAAACAUAAUAAGCCACAGUUAAUUUUUUUAUCUUUGAGAUAAAAAAAUAUUUUUGAAAAAAUUAAAUUUUUUAUUAAUUUAUAAUUUAUUUAUAUUUUAAAAUAAUUUUAAUGUAUUAAUAUUAAAAAUUAAUUUUUAAAAACAAAAUUUUAAUUAUUUUUAAAUAAAAAUAUUUUAAAAAAUAAUUAUUAUUUUAAUACCAAAAACGCUUUUGCCUGCUUGGGAGUUAUGGUUGCGGUUGCUUUUCAAAAUGUUUUUUAUUUAAAAAUGUAUUAAAAUGAUGUUUUUUUUAUUUUUUUAAAAUUAAUUUUUAUAUCAGUGCAUCAAAAUAAUCUGAAAAAACUAAAAAAAUAUUAAUUUAAAUAAAAGAAAAAAAUUAAAAUUAAAUAAAUAUUUUUCAAAACGUUUUUAAAACAUAAAAACAAAUAGAAAUAAAUGCUAAAAUAGGAAAACAAACCAACUCUUUAUUAAAUGACAUUAUUUUUGAGAUUUUAUAUAUAUAUAUAUAUAUAUAUAAAAACUUUGGUGGACACACCAAUCAAUCCAUUCGAUUGGCCACCCAAUCUUGGGCAAGAUCGACCGUGGGUUGUAUCUUAUUACUAUGGUGAUAAGUAAUCACUCGAAAGUUCAAAACUAGCUUGACCCAUAAGAAUAUAUAUCGGAAUAAGUUAAGACUAUGAUGCCAACUUUAUUUUUUUAAAAAAAUAAAAGGCAUAAAUCAUUAAUAAAAAUCUAAAAGGUAUGAAAUUUUUAUUAUGUGUGUACCAUUGUUCACCCUUCCAUAUUUUAUUAUAGAUAAUCUAUUGUUUAAAAUUUUGUCUUUUUAAUCUGGGCCUUGAUUUUUUUUACACGAUUGCAUUCUUUUUUAACCAAAUUAAAAAGCAACUUUAUCAAAUUCGCCGACUACUGAUAAAAUUAAAAAAGAGAGGACUAAAAUAGAAAAGGUGCAAUAAAUGGAUGAUGAUUUCAAAGUUCACACAAAAAAUCAAUUUAGUCCUCACACUUUAAAAAUUAUACAUAUUCGAUUUUUCAAUAUUUUUUUAAAUUCAAUUUUAGUAUAAAAUUUCACUUUUGUUAUAUUAUAGUUCAUGGUUUGAGAGAUAAGAGAGCAAGGUCACCGGAUUCCAAAUCUAGACAAAAAAUAUUGUUGGCGUCGAUUUUGACCAUAAAAAUGAUCGAUUUAUAUGUCAAAUGAUUUCAUUUGAUGAUGGGAUUUCAGCUUAAGUGUUUUUUACUUUAAAAAUAUAUAUGGGCUCAAGAGAUUGUUCAUUUUUGGUUGAUUUUGAGUUUUGAGAUAGUUUUUUUUAUGUCAUAGACAUGUUUAUCAAAGUUCAUAUGUUUUUUUCUAGGUAUUUUGGGUAAAAAAAAAUUAAAAAUGAGUUUUUGAAUGAAAAAACCUCAAAUCUUGAUUUUUCUGCCACCACAAUAAUCAAAAUAUGAGGAAAAUCAUACGAUGCAUCAUCUAAUUUAAUUUUCUUUCAAAAAGAAAGGAGGGGGGGGGGGACUUUGCAAUGAAAGAGAAUUAUGGGUCUAAGCAUGUGGGCCUACCUUGACAGACUUGUACACGGGCCCUAACAAGAUUAGUCGAAUGGGGUGGCUCGGCUUGUCAAGCCUAGUAACACUUGAGCUUUUUUUUUUUUUUUUUAAAUUAAUACUUUUUUAUAUUCUUUUUUUCAAGUUUAAUAUUUUAUUUAUAAUUAAAUUAAUAUAUUUUCUCUCUUUUAUUUUGUUGAUAUAGCCUCUUUAAAAUUACAAUUAUUUUUUAAUUAUUUUGUAUGCAUUUAUUUUUAAAAUAUAUUAUUAUAAUUCAUCUAUAAAUGUUUUUUGUGUUUUAUAUGAAUAAAAAAUAUUUAUUUAUUUAUUUAUAAUAUUUCUAACAUGUGUAAUCUUACAUGAUAUUGUUUUUAAUUCAAUCAAUUUUACAUGUAUUUAUUUUUAUUAUUGUUUAAUUGAAUGAAAAUUUGAUUUUGAUAAACAAUGAUAUUUAAUACAAUCAGAUGAAAUGCUUGUAUUGUAAUGUUAAAGAUCUUGAUUUAUAUAUGUUUAUCGAUAUUUCAAUUUUAUCUUUAUUUAUUGUUAAUAAUAUUUUAUUUUUUAUUUUUUUAAUACACAUUAUUCUCAAUAUAUUUGAUUAUAUUUAUGCAUCAGUUUUUUUUUAUGCUUAUAAUUUUUUUUAUGUACAAAUACAUGUUGGAAAAAUCUUCAUAUAUCAUUUUUUUAUAUAUAAAAAAUAUGUUUGAUGCACUAACACGUGAGAGCUUUCACUUUUAAUUUGCAUAAUAAAAGAUUUGUUUUUGUCCUUUUUUUUUUUAUUGAUCCUUUUAAUAUUGCACUGAUCUUAUAUUGAUUUUUACGAUUUGAUUUUAUGCCAAUGAUGGGACCUUUUAGUGCUGGGGAAAUAUUACGUGCUUGGUUGAUUCUCAAUUUUUAAUAAAAUCAAAAUCAAUUGCAUUCGUAUAAAAGAACUAGAAAUUCAGGUAUUGGAAUUGAAAGACUAAAUAAAUGUGCUAUUCCUUUUGUUUGCUAACAUUGAGAAUUGAUUUGCAUAUUCAAUGAAAAAAAAAUCAAAUUCAAUUUUAGCAGUGGAUUGAUUGCCAUGAUCUAGCUAGCAGAAUUUGCUAGUGUUUUUUUAAUUAAUUUUUUAAUUUAAUCAUUUUAUAUUUAAAUUGUUGAAAUUUGACAUAAUAAUUUUUUUGUAAUUGCUUUGUGGGGUUAUUUUAACAUUAUAACUUGAGUUAUGGUUUUAACAUACUAAUUAAAGUUGAUUCGAAUUAAUUUUUAUAUAUUGAAUUAUAUAAGAAUUGAAUUUGUAAUUAUUCUUUUGCGAGAACUUUUUUAAGCAGGUCACGCUAACCUUUUUUUUAUCUUAGCCUGCAACGGCAUAACACGAACAAUCUAUCUAGUGUUAUUACUGAAAGAUCACAUGGCCAACCCAAAAAGUUCACGAAGAACACACAAUCAAAAACGCAAAAAAACAAAAGGGUUUCUUGAAUUUCAACCAAAGAAUAUAACAAAACCGAUAAAACAAAAUAAUAAAUGUUUACUUACAGAAGAUUCAUCGACUAAAAUAGAUGGCAAUUUCUUCUCAGUUGCAAUAACAACAACGUUUGCCGCUACAACACCAAAAAAAUAAUAAAAUCAACAACAUAGUACAUUCGAAAAUGACAAGAAAAUGAGAUGGUAGAAGAAACCAAAGCGAAGAGGUCACAUAGAGUAAAUGGUAAGAAUUAACACCAAAGCAAAUAAUUAAUACACUCAGAACCAAAUCUUUUACCGUUAAGAAUUAAUACUGGUAGAAGAAUUUACCUCUAUAUCAUCAAAAUUAAUAUUUGGGAUGUGAGAAAUCUUUUGCCAAUCUUCACCCAUCUCCUCCUUCCCGUAACGUUUCCUUAGAAUGGAGCAACCAUUUAUGUAUAAUUCCUGUAGAGGCGCUGCCAAAACAUAGUCUGGUAGUGCUCUCAACAACGGGCAAUCAACAAUCAUCAACUCUCGAAGUUGUGGCAUAAUGGAUAUUAUUGAAGUUGUGUUGGCAUCCCACUCUUCUACUUCUUGGAGAUGCCAAAAACCAAGAUGUUUUAAUUUGGGGAAAGCAGUGACCCUUGCAAUUUCUCCUUCAUUAAUACUGCCAUUCUCAUCUUUUUCUAUACCUAAAAAUCCAGCAUCCAGCCUUCUCACCUUCAACGAGCUCAAUACCAGGCUUUCAAGGUUGGGCAAUCUUCCCAGCGGAGGCAAAACCUCCAGGUUUUCACAAUCAAAGAGUUCAAGCCCCUGUAAUCUGGUUAAUGUCAUCAUCCAAUUUGGCAAUUCCAACCCUCCGUAACUAGAUAUGGUUAGAUAUUCCAAGUAUGACGGAGGCUGUAAAGCUUCAAUUAAAGAGCCUUCAUUCGCUUGCAACUCUGUUUUCUCUCUGUCGAAAUACAAUCGCAAACGAAGCAGGCGCUUCUUAUUCUUGAGUUGUGCUUCUGCAGCGUCACUCGCAUCUUCUUUACCUCCUCCUAGAUUCCGUAUAGUAAGACUCCCUCCAAUGUGAUUUAAGUCUUUUAAUUCUCUUAGAUUAGCUGCUUUACUUUCAUUCUCACCACCACCACACACAAUAAACAAAUCUAAUGUUUGAAGACAUGUUAUCCUCUCUAUUCCCUUUGGUAUGAAGACCACUCCUGAACCAAAAAUCCGGAGAUGCCUCAAUUUGAUAAGUUUUCCAAUCGUCUUGGGCAAUUCCUUGAGAGACCGACAGAAAGUAACAUCUAGGGAUUGCAGAUUGCAUAAAUCACAACUGGUUUCUGGCAGGGACUCCAACUCUCCACAUUGUGCCAAAUUGAGGUGUCUCAAAUGUAUCAAUUUCCCUACCUCGUUUGGUAUUUCUUUGAUUGAAGACCCUGACAAAUUCAAUGACCUGAUGCAUGUCAACUGCUUGAACAAAUCAGGCAGUGCAGCUCCAAGCGAAGGGUCUCUAGUGUCGAUCAAGAGGCUGCGAAGACCUUUUGCUUUGUGAAUGGACUUGGGAAAAGAGGUCUCCUCUGACAGCAUCAUGCUUAAAUGACGAACCCUUUCAAUUGAAGUCUCCAUUGUUGCUUCUCCAAGUGUAUUGACAUCCACUGUUAGACAUUCAUUUUUUGUCAUAUAUUGGGCAAAAUCAUGCACUAUAUCAUGCAUCUUGAAUCUAAUAUCUUCUCGAUCAUACGUCUCAAAAUCUUGGAAGAAAGAGCGCGCUGCCAAGACUUGAAAGUACUGCUCUCCUACAAGCUCCAUAUCUCCACCUGAAGUCUCCUUGAGGUAACCUUGAGCCAUCCACAUCUUCACCAAUUCAUAUUUUCCCAUCUCGUAGUCUUUUGGAAACAUGGCACAAUACAAGAAACAUCGUCUUACCACAGAAGGUAAAUCGUAGUAACUCAAAAGCAAAGGUAUAAAUAUUCGUCUUUCAACCUGAUCUCUAUCAACCUCAUCUAGCCUCCACAGUUCGCUAGAUAAAACACGAUCCCACUCUUCUCUUGUUCUUUUAGACUGCAUUAGACCUCCUAAUACCUUGGCAGCUAGAGGCAAGCCCUUGCACUUGUUUGCAAUUUUAUCGCCGAUAUCUGUCAAUCUUUCGCGCUCAUCUUCGCUUCUUUCCUGGAAUGCCACAUGAUUGAAUAUUGACCUGCAUAUCUCAUCGGACAAUUUCUCAAUGUUGAUCCGGUGGUCAGUUCCCAUCAUCGUUGCCACAGCGUCCUUACGAGUGGUCACUAGAAUUCUGCUUCCUCGUGCACAGCCUGUGAGAGAUGGUUUCAGUUGUUCCCAUUGUCCAUGAUUUUCUGUCCAGACAUCAUCAAGGACAAGAAGGAACCUCUUUCCCUUAAUGGAUUCAGAAACCCUUCGCAAAAGGGAUUGCAAUCCUACCAAAUCAGAUGCCCUCCCUUCAAGCUCCUCCAGGAUAGCUUUGGCUAUUCUAACCUCAUCAAAUGGUUCUGAAACACACACCCAUAUCUUUUUCUCAAAAUGAGCCGUAACCUCUGAAUCAUUAUAAGCUAGUUGGGCGAGAGUUGUUUUUCCAAUUCCUCCCAGCCCUACUAGAGAGAUGACAUCCACGUCCCGUGCUUCUUGACUACUUUCAGCCAGCAACUUGCUUACAACAUUUCUCUUUUCACCAUCUCGACCAAUCACGCUUGAUUCAUCAACAAAGGAGGUAGUUGUUAGUCGCUGGAGUUCAUCAGUGGCUUUGUACAGAUCAAAGCCAUACUUAGCUCUCUGUUUGGCAAUGUCAUCCACCUUUUCACAAACUUCUUUGAUCUUCAGGGCAAUGUCGCGACGUCGAACCACUUGAUUGAAACAAAAGCAAGGAGAUCCCAGGAAGGAACAUCGUAUCUUCUGUCGGCUGUGAGUAUUUUCUUCAGCUUCCUCCAUUUUCCAUCUAAGAAUUGCAGUGCUCCAUUCAUCUAGCACGUCAUCCAUAUCAUAACAUGCAUCUUUGAGCUUGUCUACCCAAUCUCUUACAGCCUUAUCCUUCACUUGUUUUCUAUCUGCAUCUUCAAGGACAGAUUGGAUAUCAAGGAGAUUGCUUUUCAGCUUGUCACAUUGUUUCUUCACACCCACUACUAGGUUCACCUUUUCUUGUACCUAUUAGUGUACAAAGGAAAAGAAACGUUAAGCAUAGGAAACAUUUCUAUGACAAUUUCACACCCCCUACUAGGUUCACCUCUUCCUGUACCUAGCUAUUAGUGUAGAAAAGACAAGUUCAAGCAUAGGAAACAUUUCUAUUUUGUAUUAAUAUAUUUUAUUGUGAAAUGGAUUUACUAUAUUAAUAAUUUAUAUAUAAAAUAUUUAUUAUAAAUGAUAAUAUUUCUUUUUUCUUUUUAUCAUCAUGAUGAUGAUAUCAGUCUGCACUAUGCUACUGUACAAGAAGGUAUAAAAUGAAUCUUAAAUGGUAAAAUGUAAACCUGUACGUAUGUAUAUAUAUAUAUAUAUAAAGAGUUCAAUGUUCUCACGUGAGAAGGAUUUCUCCUUUGAACCGACAUAAAAUCUGGUUUUCAUUUUACAUUAAACUAUAGAUAUAUGGAUGUAUAAAGGCAAGUGAAUAAAAGGAUCUGCAUUUAUAUAUUUGUGAAGUCAAUUUAGAAAUAAAGGCAUGAUAAUAAGAUUGUGUGAUAACUAUAUAGUUUUAAUUCACACCAAAUACUCACUCGCUAAUCCUUCGAACUUUUUAUUGAUUAUUUUACCUUUAAUAGUUCAGUUUAAAGAGAAUUGGCAACUCUUGUUCAUCUUUUUUGGUUUUCUUAUAUUUGGAAUGAUAUAUUUUCUUUAGGUUAUUUUUAGAAAUAUGAAAACUAAUAAAACUAGAAAAAUAAGUCUUUAAUAAAAUCGAAAUAUAUACUUGAGGAUUUAAAAUAUUAUUUUUAUUUUUUCAAGUUAAAAGUAUUCUUUUUAUGAGAGGAAGAAAAAAGGCUUGAACGUUAUAUAUAUUUCUUAUCUGUGCUUAGGUAAAUCAGGUUAUUGCAGAUGGCAGAAAAAUACCUGUUGAGCAACGAUCGUGGUUAACUGCUCCAAGAUCGGAGAUAGAAGUGCCUCAGCCAUCGUCUGUUUAGUUCUGAUUGGAGAGAGAGAGAGAGAGAGAGAGAGAGAAGCAGUGAUGAUAGGAAGACAGAGAGAAAGAGAGGGUGAAGGGAAGGAGGCGGCUGAUUGUGAAUGGAUUAAUAUACUUGGGGUUUCUCGUUGCAGGUGGAGUUCUUGCAACUUGUAGUUUUUUUUACUAGUGAAGCUUUGUAUUUAGUGUCUCCACAGAAAAAUAUUUUUUAUUUAGUGGCUGAAAGAUUCACAAUUUAUAUUAUAAUUGAUGAUUUUUAUUCUAUGAAAGAACAACAAAUAUAAUUAAAAUAAUAUAUAAAAAUUAUUUUUUAUUAUUUUUUAUUUUAUUUCAAAGUUUAUUAAACAUAAAAUAAUGUUUCGCUUUAAUUAAUGUUUCUUAUAUACUUUGUAUGUUUAUAUUUGAUAGGUAUAGAGAUCAACAACAUUAAAAUGAUGAAUACAUCAUGAAGUUAAAAUUAGCUUCAUUGUUUUGACUUAAUUUGAUAUUGCUCCAAACCUUUUAUAUUAUAUAUUUAUAAUAAGUUAUUUGAAUAAAACUAAAUCAUACUGGUUUUUUUUACAACUCAUAUAUAAUAAAUUAAAAUAAAUAUUAUAUUUUGUUUUAUUAUUUUUGGCCAUUCCAAAAAUAUCAAGGGAAAGUCUUCAAAUGCACAGAGUAAAUCGGAACCCACAGUGAAGUAGCUCUUCAGUAUCUUCUAAGCUCAAGCUGUCAAACACAGACCAAAAGCAAACGUGUCAUAACCAAAACAACCCAAUGAAUGGUAGAUGUUAAAAUGAGCAUUCCAUUUUCUGAAUGACAAAAAUCCCAGUGCCUAGCAAUGACUUACAUAAUUAAUUAAAAUGGAUUUGUUAAAAUAUAGUAAAAUAUUAGACCGUUUAAGAAUUAACACUGUUGGGUUUCGAUAACUUUAUUUGGAUUUAAUCCAUUAAAUCAAUGGGUAUCAUCUUUUAUAGAUGAAUGGUUUAGCUUCCAAGUCUACCAUUCUCUCAUUUAUUUGGACUUAAUCCACUGAAACUGAGGUUUUAUUUGUAAGUAUACACAUCAGGCUCAAGCUUAUCUUCUUGCAUCUGCUCAAAUAUUUCUUCUGCCUUCUCACAGAGUCCCUCUCUAGCAAACGCGUUCACCAGAGCUGUGUAUGUGCAGAUAUCUGGUCUGCAUUUUUGACUUCUCAUUUCGUUAAACAACUUCAAGGCCAUGUAAGAUUGACUUGCCUGAGUACAGGAAAAAGAUUAGCAAAAUGAGUUUUUAAGGAUCCUAAACACCACUGUUGUCCAGUUAUCAGAAUUUAUAACCAUAUCCUUGAAUUUAUUCUGAUAAUUGUUUGAAAUUGAAUGCAUAUAUUUCAAGUUGUUCGUUGUAUCACUGUAGACUCGUAGACGUACGAGUUACGCGUAAUUUUCUACUGGGACCAGUGGCAUUUCAAGAAGAUCAGAUUUGCAGAAUAAUUCAGAACCAAAUACCACUGAGCUUACCUUCCCAUGAAGGUUGAUCAACAGUGUAUAGGUGUCAGUAGAGGGCUGGCAGCCAUCAUUUUUCAUUCGCUGAAAGAUCUCAAUUGCUCUUUGAGGGUUUCCAGCCUUCGUUAACCCAUCAAUAUAAGCAUUGUAUACAAUUGCACCUGGCCAAAAUUAGAGUAUACGCUCACUUUUCACUCUUGAAUGUGCAUGCAAGUGUAUCAACAGAACAGCUUGAAAAACGAAAAUCUGAGAAGUGUAAAUAAGAGAACGAAACACAAAAGCAGAACUAAUGCCCUGUAUUUCACCACCACAAAAAGAAGAGAAAUAACCCACGCAAUCUCAUAAAGGAAAGCUACAGAAGCAAGUUUGUCAUCCAGGAGCCUCUAGCCUAAUCCAGUUCCGGUCUAGCUAAAUUAGCAAGGGGUCCCUCUUGGUUUAAUCAACCAUUCUCUAAGCAUGGUGAUGUAGAUAAGGAGUAGUAAUCACUACUAUUAUAGUAGCAACAAGAAAUAUGCAGACCAUGAACCAAUCUUCUCUUUUCCUACGUUUAGUAUACUUCACCCCCGAAAAGAAAAAAUAAAUACAGCUCUGUGCAAUUAUUGAGCGAGGUUUCAAAAUUUAAAACGAAUUUAACCCCACAAAAAAUCAAUUUUUGAGGAAAAGAAUCUUAAAAGUUGAAGAAAUUUUUGUUUUAUAAGAAAUGGUUGAUCCAAUAACUUCUUGAAAAUACAAUUUCCCUAAAAGCUAAGAAGAAAUGAAUUGGUAAACACAUACUUGGAGGAAGGCUAUACUUUCGCAUAUCAACAAAGGCAGCUUCAGCUUUUUCUAACAAUCCACAUGCACAGUAAGCCUUUAUAAGAAGGGCAUAAGUGUCUUCAGUAGGGAUACACCUGGCUUGAAGAAGAUCAACAUAUGUUUCUUCUGCCUUCUUGUACAAAGAUUUUUGCCCAUAAGCAUCUAUUAGUAAAUUGUAGCACAUGACAUCUGUCUGGAAGGAGCUCUUGUACAAUAUCCAUUGACAUAUCUGGAAAUUUUAGAGUUACACCCAACAAGAUUAUUAAGAAUUAAGAACAAACGAUAUCAAAAAUGUCUAUAUAAUAAAUAGAGACAGUAAAGAGAUUUGUUUCAUUUAGUUGUAGGAAAAUGCUGGUAUAUGAGAAUUCCAAACACCAACUGCAGCACCAACCACUUAAAGGAGAUUUGAACAAUCGAGGAUUCAGUCUUAAUGGUUGAAGAGAAAAAUACUGUGCAAAAUACUGUGCCACAAAAAUAUGUGCGUGCAAGGUGGUUUAAUCCAUCGCCUACCACCUUACACUAUGAAAGAAAUAAGGCACGAUUUACUCACCAAUGCAAUCGGAUCCCAUUGUUUAUUCAAACGAAGUUGGACGGCUACAUUAAUAAGAUCAUCCCAAGUCUCGUGAGUGACAGGAAGAGUAUCAAGAGCAGCCCAAACAUUAUUCGGAUCCACUUCUUUCCGCACAAAGUUCAGAAUCUGAUGAGCAACAGGACUUAGCACGGGAAAAUUCCAUCAACAAAUCCAGAUCCAUAUUUCCAUCCUUGUCCCCUCAAAGAGCCACCUAGGUAAAUUAGACGACUUAAUAAUUAAAGCCAUAUUUGCUUGAGAGUUAUAUGUAUGAGCACAAAGUGAAUUACUCCGUAUUACAUCGUUUCCUGGACAUCUUUUUGUGAUCAAAGAUUCGCCAUUUGCCAUGUUUGUCGAUAUAGACCCUGUCGCUUUUCCACUUUUUAACAUCUCCACUACUGGAAUUCUUUUCUCUGCGUCUGAAAUGACCAUUCCGGAUUCUUGAUUCUAUAAAAAUAUGAUUCAGAGUGCAUCUAACAAGCAACCUGCAAACACUAAUCAAGUAAACACACAAUUGCCAGCAACAAAAUACACACCUCUUAAUUUAAAGCCAUUACACGGAGGAAGCAACCAAAUAAAAUCCAUAUAAAGGAUGCUUUAGACUUCAAAAUAAUUGGACAAAGAGAGACACUAAAACUACUUUUAAUCACAAUAGCAAACACAUGAAAUGCAAACCAGAAAACCUAGUUAAAAAGAAGAAGAAAAGUAGUCAACUUUCCCUUUCUAAACCAAAUAUCUUCUCCCUUUCUUCCGCAAUAAUUCUUAACUGCUGUGAGUAUAGGUUGUAUUUUCAUUACAGAAUCAAAUAUUAGUCUAAUCUAUCUGAUUAAACUACAAAAAUCAAAAUUUGCAAGAUAAACAAGGCCACAACUGUUGAAGACUGGUUAGAGUUCAACAACGAUAAGCAUAGCACUCUGACAGCUAAAACUGGUCCAUCAUCUUAAAACUUAUGAAGUCACAGUAAGACUUUUUAGAUAAUGAUGAUUGCUCGUUCAAUACAUAUGAGAGCCAACAAAAUGCUAAAAUGUUUAAUUAACAAGAACAUAAAACAAAUUAGACAUCCUCUCUCAAGUGAACGUUGAUACUUAGCAAUUCCAUUGAAACCCAUUUCUCAGAACCAGAAAUUCCAUGAAAAAGCAAUAUUAUCCAGCAAGAGGAGAAAGAACCACCAGAAUUGAAGUUAAUAAAUACAGAAAAUAACAAGGCAGCAUGAACAGCAUUAGCAGUGGCAUUGCAUUACGAAAGAGAGGAAGGAAGGACACGACUUACAUGAAAGUAUAAAAGAGGAGUUUGGAGUUGGGUAUCUGUAAACAUCCAGCAAGCAAGAAGAUAUGUGAACUGAAGAGUGUUUUCUUGGAUAAUGGACUCCGUGGGUGAAGACCAGCACUGCCAGACAAAAGUAGCUUCUGUUUUUUUCUGUUUACUAAGGGACAAAAGCCUCAAAAUAUCUCUAACGAACUUAAGGAGUCAAACAAUAGCAUUAUUGUAGCCUCGUGGUGUCUGAGGUUGCAUGGGAUUCUAUAUUGAGACAGUAGCUGAUUAUACAAUGGUUGAUUUAAAAUAACCAACACUACCUUUUUAUACAAAGUGGGAUUGAUGAGGAUAUAAAUCUACACACUCCAACAUUCAAAGUCCCAAUCUUAGAGUCAUUGAUUAGUAUAGUAACGCCUCAUUGGCAAGAACCCAAAUCACUAAGCUCAAAUUACUAAUAAAAAUUACAAAUUUACACCGAAUUUGAACAGAUUUCUACCAACCGAUGUCACUAAAGAAAACACAAAAAAAAAAAAAAAACGCAAAAAAACAAAAGGGCUUCUUGAAUUUAAACCAAAGAAUAUAACAAAACCAAUAAAAAAAAUAAUAAAUGUUUACUUACAGAAGAUUCAUCGACUAAAAUAGAUGGCAAUUUCUUCUCAGUUGCAACAACAACACCGCUUGCCGCUACAACACUAAAAAAAUAAUAAAAUCAACAACAUAGUAUCUAAGCACCCAUCAACAACAUAGUGCAUUCGAAAAUGACAAGAAAAUGAGAAAAGAGAGAGAGGGAGCUUAAAUUGCACCAACCUUUGAUUCCGAGAGAAGUUUGGCCUGAUCCAACGGCAGUCAAUGCGUGCUCAAUCUGUACUAGCUUUCCGGUAGGACUGAAAGUAGUGAGAGAAAAGGAGUACUGGCUAUCACCCAUGGUUUAUUGCUUGAAGACGCAGAGAGGAAAAACUGUGAAUGCGAGUGUGUGGGAGGGAAAGACAGGGAUAUUUACUUGGGGUUUUAACUUUGCUUUUCUCGUUGGAGAAGAAGGUGUUUUCUUACGAGGGCUUUUACAAUGGAGUAUUAUGGGAUUUUAUGACGGCAGGUUGAUCCUCUGUACAUUGAGCUCAAUGAAGGCUCGGGACCAGUUUUGUUUUCAAGUAUUAUUAACAAAUAUUUAUUUAUUUAUUAAUAUACAUAAUUUUUAAUUUAUUUAAUAACAUUUAUAUAUAAUUUUUAAUUUAUUAUAUUUUUGAACUAGAAAAAUAUAUUUAAAGAACUGCAUAUAUAAAUUUUUAUAAAAAAUAAAAUAUUUGACUCACAAUAAAUUAUCCAUAUUUUUAUUAAAAAAAUAAAGUUGGGUAAACUCUUAAUUAGGCCUUGCUACUGAAUUUUGUUGUUGAUUUGUAAUUUAAUUAUUGUUGAAGAUUUUUUGUGUUAGGUUUGGAUAACUUUAUUUGGAUUUAAUCUCCAAAAUCGAAGAGUAUCAUCACUUAUAGAUGAAUGGUUUAGCUUCUCUCAUUUAUUUGGAUUUUAAUCCACUGAAACUGAGGUUUAAGAGUUUCUUGGAUUUAAUCCACUGAAACAGUUGCUUGAUCAAGAUCAUUGGCUUGUUUGAAGGCAGAUAAAGGCAUACAAAAAAAAAGCGAGAGAGAGCGAGAAAGAGAGGAUGUGAGAAAUAAUUAUAGAUAUGAGUUACAGUAGUUGAAACAAAUGAAUUACAGAUCAUUUUAUGGUGAGAGAGAAAGAGAGAGAGAGAGAGAGAAUGUGAGAAAUAAUUAUAUCAUCUUAGAUUACAGAUCAUUUUGAGAAAAUCUAAAAGAAAGUAUCAUCUUAGAUUAAUUAUAGAUAUGAGUUACAGUAGUUGAAAUUUCAAAGGCAAUUUUUUAGAGUAAAGAGGAAAUAAUAUGUUGAGAUGAUGCGAGAGCCCAAUUACAGUAAAGAGGUCAUAUAUUAUUUACACUCAACCUUAGCAAACACCAAAGCAAAACAAAUUAAAUUAAUACACUCAAAGCAGGUUCUAAAGAGUUGUGCCAAUCUUCACCCAUCUCCUCCUUCCCGUAACGUUUCCUUAGAUUGGGGCAACUCUUUAUGUGUAACUCCUGUAGAGGCGCUGCCAAAACAUAGUCCGGUAGUUCUCUCAACAACGGGCAAUUACUAAUCAUCAACUGUCGAAGAUGUGGCAUAAUGGAUAUUAUUGAAGUUGUGAUGGCAUCUUCUUCUCCCACUGAUCUCCUUUCAAUUCCAUCCCACUCUUCUACUUCUGUGAGACUCACAAUUUGUUGUCUCCGUGGACGUACCCGGUUUUUGGGAACCACGUAAAUCUGUUGUUUGUGUUUUAUUUGUGUUUGCUUUUGGUUCAGUAUGCAUAACAAAUUGGUAUCAGAGCGUUUGGGAAGCUAGAACACUGAAAAAAACACGUUUUUCAGCUCUCGGAUCGAAGUUGCAGAAUUUUCAAAGUUCUCAGAUCUUGAUUUUGACCACCUACAGAGAUUCCUCUCGUCGAUACGAGUCCGGCAAUAUAAAGAUCAUCGAAAUCGGAGUUAAAACGAUCCCUGUAGAGCUCGCCGAAGUUUCGCCGGAAAACUGCCGGAAAAACCAGACUGCCGGAAUUCUUGCCUGAGAAGACUGCCACGUCAUCCGCCACGUCACCAAACAGUGACAGAAUAUGCUCUUGACAGAAUGAGAAUAUUCCGUUAACAGAGACAGAAUAUUCCUUUGGCAGUGACAGAAUAUUCUCUUGACAGUGACAGAAUAUUCCCUUGGAUUUGACAGAAUAUUCUUUAUCAGAGACAGAAUAUUCCUUUCCUGAGUCAACUCGGUCAGAUUUGUUUUUUGGCCAACUCAGUGAUUUUAUAUCCCGUUUUUUGGCCAAGUUAAGCUUGUUCCUAGCAUUUUCAACCGUUCCGGACGCAACCGUGGUGUCCGUUUUGUGAAACAGCACACAGAAGUUACUGUUUUGGCUCUUUUGAGCAUAAAAUUGUGUGUUUUAACAAUUUCGGGAGUCCAUUUGUAAUCUAAAGGCGUCCUAAUGGCUGAUAUUCCAGAAGAAAAAUCAGCGGGGAAUGCUAGUAUACCUCCACAAUACAUCCCGGUAUCGAAUACCAAAUUUGAGGUGGAGAAGUUUGACGGGAAAGGUAAUUUUGGCAUGUGGAAAUGUGAAGUUAUGGAUAUGCUUGUCCAAAUGAAUUUGGAUUUCACUCUAGAAGAUAAACCAAGAGGAUUUGGAUGAGAAAAGCUGGGGGAGGAUAAAUCGGUUAGCUUGCAGUUCCAUCCGACUUUGUCUUGUAAAAGAUCAAAAGUACGCCUUUUCAGAACAAAACUCUGCAAAGGAAUUAUGGCAAGCACUGGAGGACAAGUUUAUGAAGAAGAGUAUAGAGAAUCGUCUCUACUUGAAGAAAAGAAUCUUCCGUUUUCAGCACAAGAAAGGUACUUCCAUGAAUGAGCAUCUGAAUGAUUUCAAUAAAAUGAUAGCUGAUUUGAAGAAUUUAGAUGUGGAAAUAGAUGAUGAAGAUAAAGCUCUGUUAUUAUUGAAUUCACUGCCUGACACAUAUGAACAUCUCGUCACCACUUUACUGUAUGGUAAAGAAAAGAUUAAAUUCAUUGAUGUGUCCAAUGCUUUGGUGAAUAAUGAGUACCGGAAGAAGGACCAGAUUGUUCACAAGGAGUCAACGUCAGAAGCAUUGACAGUUAGAGGCAGAACAAACCCUAGAAGAUUUCGAGGGCGAGGGAGAUCUCGCUCAAAAUCUAGAGGAGAAUCAUCAAACAGGCGAUAUCUUGCAAAAGAUGAGUGUGCCUUUUGUCACAAAAAGGGGCACUGGAAGAAAGAUUGUCCAAUCAAGGGCAAUAAGGAAAAAGAUGAACCAACUGUGAACGUUGCACGAGAAGAAGAUGAACGAGACUCUGCAUUCAUGGUCUCAUCACCAGAAAAACAUUGUGGUGAAUGGAUUCUUGAUUCUGCAUGUUCUUAUCACAUGUCCCCUAACAAGCACUUAUUCUCGAGACUUGAGGAGUUCGAUGGAGGAGUUGUGUUUAUGGGCAAUAAUAAUGUUUCUGAGGUCAAAGGGAUUGGGACUAUCCAUCUGAAGAUGCAUAAUGGGGUAGUCAAGACACUAACAGAGGUACGGUAUGUACCUGACUUGAAGAAAAAUCUCUUCUCACUUGGAGUCCUAGAAUCCAGUGGUUAUAAGAUUAUCAUGCAUGGUGGAGUCCUCAGAGCAAUCCGUGGUGCAUUAGUUGUCUUAAGAGGCACGAGGAUAGGAAACUUAUAUUUCCUAGAUGGAUCUACUGUUACUGGUAUAGCAGCUGUUUCCAAAAGCCUAGAAGAUGCUGAAGCAGAUAAUUCCAGACUUUGGCACAUGCGCUUAGGGCAUGCUGGUGAAAAGGCUUUGCAAGGACUAGUCAAGCAAGGUCUAUUAAAAGGCGCCAAGACUGGGAAGCAUGGGUUCUGUGAGCAUUGUGUUCUUGGAAAACAGACAAGGGUCAAGUUUGGCACUGCAAUACACAACACAAAAGGGAUUCUAGAUUAUGUUCACACAGAUGUAUGGGGACCUUCAAAGAAUGAAUCUCUUGGAGGUAAUCGUUGGUUUGUUACUUUUAUUGAUGAUUUCUCAAGACGAGUAUGGGUGUACAUGAUGAAACACAAGGAUGAGGUCCUUGAUAUCUUUCUGAAAUGGAAGAAAAUGGUGGAGACUCAAACGGGAAGGAGAGUUAAGACUCUUCGGUCAGAUAAUGGUGGUGAGUACACUUCAGAUCCUUUCUUUGAAGUUUGCCAGGAUGAAGGGAUCAAGCGACAUUUUACUGUGCGCAAAACACCACAACAAAAUGGAGUAGCAGAACGCAUGAACCGCACAUUGGUGGAGAAAGUCCGAUGUAUGCUAUCACAUUCGGGACUAAGCAAAGUGUUCUGGGGCGAGGCAUUAAGCUAUGCCGUCAUAUUGUUAAUCGGUUACCUUCAGCAGCAUUAAAUGGAAGAACCCCCUUGGAGGUAUGGUCAGGCUCUCCUGCAAAUGAUUAUGACUCUAUGCGUAUAUUUGGUUGCUCAGCAUAUUAUCAUGUUACUGAGUUAAACUAGAUCCUAGAGCCAAGAAAGCUAUAUUUUUGGGCUUUAGUGGAGGAGUAAAAGGUUACAGACUCUGGUGUUCUGAAUCAAAGAAAGUGAUUUUGAGUAGAGAUGUCACUUUUGAUGAGUCUGGCAUGUUACAGCAGGAGAAAUCACAGGAGAAGGAAAAACAGUCUGGUGAUGCACAACAGGUGGAGUUGGAGACUUCAGUCAUCCCUAUAAAGACUGUUCAGACAAUCCCUACUGAAGGAGAUUCAGAUGAAAGUUCAGAUGAAGAGGAUGCAACAACUCCAGCAACCACACAACAAGAAUCCAUUGCAACGAGUAAACCGAAAAGAGUUAUCAAGAAACCUGCUCGGUAUUGUGACAUGGUGGCUUAUGCACUUCCAGUGAUUGAUGAUGGAAUCCCCUACACCUACAAAGAAGCAGUACAGAGUGUAGAAAGUGCAAAAUGGAAAGAGGCAAUGGAUGAAGAGAUGAAAUCUCUCCACAAGAAUCAGACUUGGGAUUUGGUACAACUCCCUAAGGAAAAGAAGACAAUUGGUUGCAAGUGGGUAUAUGCCAAGAAGGAAGGUAAUCCUGGAAAAGACAACAUCCGAUUCAAAGCAAGAUUGGUAGCAAAAGGCUAUGCUCAGAAGGAGGGGAUAGAUUAUAAUGAGGUAUUCUCUCCAGUUGUUAAGCAUUCAUCAAUUCGUAUUUUGCUAGCCUUAGUUGCACAAUUUGAUUUGGAGUUAGCCCAACUUGAUGUGAAAACUGCCUUCCUACAUGGAGAUUUGGAAGAGGAAAUUUACAUGUCUCAGCCAGAUGGUUUCAAAGUCACUGGGAAAGAGAAUUGGGCUUGUAAACUGAAGAAGUCAUUGUAUGGCUUGAAACAAUCUCCUCGCCAGUGGUAUAAGCGAUUUGAUAAGUUCAUGACAGAACAUGGAUACACACGGAGUCAGUUUGACAACUGUGUAUAUUUUCGCAGACUUCUUGAUGGUUCUUUCAUCUAUUUGCUCUUAUAUGUGGAUGAUAUGUUGAUUGCAUCAAAGAGCAAGGUGGAGAUUGAUAGACUGAAAGCUCAACUGAGAACUGAGUUUGAAAUGAAGGACCUUGGAGAAGCUAAGAAGAUUCUUGGCAUGGAGAUUCAGAGAGACAGAAGAAAAGGCACAGUCUGUUUGACACAGACCCAAUACUUGAAGAAACUUCUACAGAGAUUUGGGGUAGAUGGUAAGACCAAGCCGGUAAGCACACCUUUAGCUCCUCAUUUUAAGCUAAGUGCUUCAAUGUCUCCACGCACAGAGGAAGAGCGCAAACAUAUGGCUCAAAUUCCGUAUGCAAAUGCAGUUGGUGCAUUAAUGUAUGCAAUGGUUUGUACGAGACCAGAUAUUUCACAUGCUGUCAGUAUGGUGAGCAGGUAUAUGCAUGAUCCGGGAAAGGGUCACUGGCAGGCAGUUAAGUGGAUUCUACGGUACAUUCAUGGCACAACUGAUAUUGGUUUGAAGUUUGAGAGGGAUGAUAGACUCGAGCAAAAUUUAGUUGGUUAUGUGGAUUCGGAUUAUGCUGGUGACUUAGACAAGCGUCGUUCCACAACAGGCUAUGUGUUUACACUUGCUAAAGGGCCUGUAAGUUGGAGGUCAACUUUACAAUCAACAGUAGCUUUGUCAACAACUGAGGCAGAGUACAUGGCAGUAACAGAAGCUUUCAAGGAAGCUAUUUGGUUACAUGGGUUGAUUGAAGAUUUGGGAAUUGUUCAAGAGCACGUGGAUGUCCAUUGUGAUAGUCAAAGUGCUAUUUGUCUUGCAAAGAAUCAGGUUCAUCAUUCCCGCACCAAGCACAUCGAUGUUCGAUUUCAUUUUGUUCGAGAAAUUGUGGAUGAAGGGGAUAUUCUGCUACAGAAAAUUGUACUAUAGAUAAUCCAGCUGACAUGCUCACAAAAUGUGUCUCAGGGAUCAAGUUCCAACAUUGUUUGGACUUGGUCAACAUCUCUCGGUGUUGAGCACCUUCAGGGUGCAAUGCCAUAUGGCGCAAUGGAGGCGGCAUUGAUUAAUCACGAGUAUUGGAUGGAAAAAUCUUGCAAAGGUGGAGAUUUGUAGCAAAUUGUCAACAUUUGAAAAUUGUCAACAUUUUUCUCAACAACCCUCUCCUUUACUCAACCACUAUCAACCACCCUCUCCUUCUUUUUGACCAUUAUCACUUCUCAUCAAGGUGCUGCCAAAGCUCUCCUAUAAAGACAGAGACGAGAGAGUGCAGGGUAGAAGAGAGGAAGUGUCAAGUGCAGAGGAAGUGUGGUGAGUGCAAGUGAGUGCAACUGUGAGAGUGAAAAAUACAGAUUUGAGAGAAACACAGAGUGUUAGAGUGAAACACUGGGUUUUGUGGGGAUUGUAUUGGGGUUGAGUUGAGUGUUUGUAUUAUUCCUCCAAUAAUAUACAAUCUGUUGUCUCCGUGGACGUACCCGGUUUUGGGAAACCACGUAAAUCUGUUGUUUGUGUUUUAUUUGUGUUUGCUUUCGGUCCAGUAUACACAACACACGUUUCUACACUAACGGAGUGUAAGCACCUGUAAUCUGGUUAAUGUCAUCAUCCAAUUUGGCCAUUCCAACCCUCCGUAACUCCAUAUGAUUAGAUUUUCCAAGUCUGACGGAGGCUGUAAAGCUUCAAUUAAAAUGCCGUUCUCCUGGUUGUAGUAGAAAUCCAAUUCCAAACGAAGCAGGCGCUUCUUAUUCUUGAGUUGUGCUUCUGCAGCGUCACUCGCAUCUUCUUUACCUCCUCCUAGAUUACUUAUAAUAAGACUCCCUCCAAUGUGAUUUAAGUUUUUUAAUUCUCUUAGAUUAGCUGCUUUACUUUCAUUCUCACCACCAGCACACACAGUAAACACAUCUAAUGUUCGAAGACAUGUUAUCCUCUCUAUUCCCUUUGGUAUGAAGGCCACACCUGAAUCAUAAAUCCGGAGAUGCCUCAAUUUGAUAAGUUUUCCAAUCGCCUUGGGCAAUUCCUUGAGAGACCGACACCAAGUAACGUCUAGGGAUUGCAGAUUGCAUAAAUCACACAUGGUUUCUGGCAGGGACUCCAACUCUCCACACCAUGCCAAAUUGAGGUGUCUCAAAUGUAUCAAUUUCCCUACCUCGUUUGGUAUUUCUUUGAUUGAAGACCUUGUCAAAUUCAAUGACCUGAUGCAUGUCAACUGUUUGAACAAAUCAGGCAGUGCAGCUCCAAGCGAAGGGUCUCUAGUGCCGAUCAAGAGGCUGCGAAGACCUUUUGCUUUGUGAAUGGACUUGGGAAAAGAGCUCUCCUCUGACAGCAUCAUGCUUAAAUGACGAACCCUUUCAAUUGAAGUCUCCAUUGUUGCUUCUCCAAGUUUACUGGCAUCCACUGUUAGACAUUCAUUUUUUGUCAUAUAUUGGGCAAAAUCAUGCACUAUAUCAUGCAUCUUGAAUUUCAUUCCUUCAAACCAAUGCCUCUCAAAAUCUUGGAAGAAAGAGCGCGCUGCCAAGACUUGAAAGCACUCCUCUCCAACAAGCUCCAUAUCUCCACCUGAAGUCUCCUUGAAGUAACCUUGAGCCAUCCACAUCUUCACCAAUUCAGAUUUUCCCAUCUCGUAGCCUUUUGGAAACAUGGCACAAUACAAGAAACAUCGUCUUACCCUUGCACUUAUUUGCAAUUUUAUCGCUGGUUUCUGUCAAUCUUUCGCACUCAUCUUUGCUUCUUUUAUUGAAUGCCACCUGAAUGAAUAUGGACCUGCAUACCUCAUCAGACAAUCUCUCAAGGAUGAUCAUGUGGUCGGUUCCCAUCAUGGUUGCCACAGAAUGUUUACGAGUGGUCACUAGAAUUCUGCUUCCUGGUGCUCCGCCUUUGAGAGAGUGUUUCAGCGGUUCCCAUUGUCCAUAAUUUUCUGUCCAGACAUCAUCUAGGACAAGAAGGAACCUCUUUCCCUUAAUGGAUUCAGAAACCCUUUGCAAAAGGGAUUGCAAUUCAACCAAAUCCGGUGCCCUCCCUUCAAGCUGCUCGAGGAUAGCUUUGCCUAUCCUAACCUCAUCAAAUGGAUCUGAAACACACACCCAUAUCUUCUCAAAAUGAGCCGUAACCUCAGCAUCAUUAAAAGCUAGUUGGGCGAGAGUUGUCUUUCCAAUCCCGCCCAUCCCUACUAUAGAGAUGACCUCUACGUCCCCUGCUUCCUGAAUACUUUCGCCCAGCAACUUGCUUACUACAGCUUCCCUUUCAUCAUCUCGACCAGUCACGAUUGAUUCAUCAACAAGGGAGGUACUUGUUAUUCGUUGGAGUUCAUCAGUGGCUCUGUACGGAUCAAAGCCAUACAUAGCUCUCGCUUUCGCAAUGUCAUCCACUUUUUCACAUACUUCUUUGAUCUUGAGGGCAAUGUCUCGACGUCGAACCACUUGAUUGAGACAAAAGCAAGGAGAUUUCAGGAAGGAACAUCGCAUCUUCUGUAGGCUGCGAGUAUUUUCUUCAGCUUCCUCCAUUUUCCAUGUAAGAAUUGCUGAGCUCCAUUCAUCUAGCACGUCAUCCAUAUCAUAACAUACAUCUUUGAGCUUGUCUACCCAAUCUCUUACAGCCUUAUCCUUCACUUGUUUUCUAUCUGCGUCUUCAAGGAUAGAUUGGAUAACAAUGAGAUUGCUUUUCAGCUUGUCGACUUCGUUUCUUCACACCCCCUACUAGGUUCACCUCUUCAUGUACCUAUUAGGGUAGAAAAGAUCAGAAAGUUCAAGCAGAGGAAACAUUUCUAUGAUUUCAAUACAAGUUUUUUUAUUUUAAUUUUUCGUAAUUAAUAGAUUAAAUAAUUUUUAUUAAUCUUUUUUUUUGCAGUAGUUGACACGUGCUGUGAAAUGGAUUGGCUAUAUUAAUAACUUAUAUAUAAAAUAUUUAUUGAAAACUUAUAUAUUAAAGAUAAUGCUUCUUUUUAUCAUCAUCAUGAUGAUAUCUCUCUGCACUCUGCUACUAUACAAGGAAGAAAAUGAAUCUUAAAUUGUUCCAAUCAAAGAAAUAUAGUGAUUAAAAGGAUCUGUAUUUGUUGGUAUUUGUAAAGUCUAUUUGGAAAUAAAUAUUCUUCCUUUAAAGUGAACUAAUUAUUUUAACAUUUGAUUGAUUAUUUUACCCUUAGCAGUUCAGUUUAAUGAGAGGAUUGACAACUCCUUUUUCCUUCUAAAGAUUAUUUCCAGAAAUAUGAAAAAUAAUAAAACAAUAAAAAUAAAUUUCCUUAAUAAAAUCCAAAUCUAGAUCUGAGUAUUUGAGAUUUUAUUUUAUUUUUAUGGUAGAGGAACAAAAAAAGACUUCAUUUUUAUAUUUCUUAUUCAUGUUAGGUUAAUUGGAUCAUUGCAAAUUGUAGAAAGGCAAUUACCUGUUGAGCAACGAUCCUCGUUAACUGCUCCAGAAUUGGCGAUAAAAGUGCCUCUGCCAUUUGUCUGUUUACUUUUAUUUUAUUUCUUAAAAAAAGAGAGACAAUGAUGAUAGGAUGAACAGAGAGGGAGAGAGAAGAGAGUAUGAGGGGAAGGAGGCUGCUGAUUUAGUUAGUUUAGAGCGGAGAAGCUAAAUGAAUAGCUAAAAAUAAAAAAUUAAUAUUUUAGUUUUUCUUUACUUGUUUUAUACACUCCAAGAAAAAAGUCAAAUAAAAUACUAAAAUACCUUUUUUCUCCCACAAAUGUUAUUCCUAUAUAUCUCUCAAAAGAGCCAAAAUUAAUCAAGUGGGGCCAACAAAAGAAUAAACCAAUUAAAUCUAGCCAUGUGAAAAAAAAAUAACAUCAAAAUCAUUAAAAAAAAUAAAACACUUCUUUAUUCUACUCUAAUAGAAUUGGCUUUUUAAAUGGCUUUUUUUCCAUUAGAAUAUACAUGAUAAAAAAAGUUAUAUUUAUACUAUUCAAAAUGCUAUUUUAUCAAUUUAUCUUUUUAAAAUAGCAUUUUACUUUGGAGAUGUUCUUAUAUGUGCUUAGGGUUUGGUGGUGAGGGUUGACUUUUGUUUCAAUGCCUGCGCUGUUUCUAACAUUUCAAUUCAGUCCCUAUAUUAUUGAACUUUUCAGUCUAGUGUCGGUCAGGGUUUUGUUAACAGGAAAAGGAUUGCAGGGAUGGCUGGUCUGAGUGAUGGAAGCUGGCUGAAGCUGGGGCUGUGUGGAUAUCAGUUAAAUUUUGAUGCAGGCUCUUGAACUAGAAACCAUGUAUUAGUUGUCUCAUAUAGGACACUUUACUAUUACAUUUUGAUGCUGGCUCUUGAACCAUUACCCUCUUCGCUCCAGUUGAGAAGAAUUUUUAAUUUAUAUUCCUGAUGAUCAUCGUUAUGCUAUGUAAUGUAGUGAUUCAAUCGCGCCAUUUCUUAUGUUUAGAAAUCUAUGUUUUGGUAACUUGUCUCUUGUUUUUUUUUUUUUCUUGUUGGGUUGCUCAGGUGCUAUCUACAUUGAUUCUGAUAUCAUAGUUUUGAAUUCAUGGUCUUCACUUAAUAACACGAUUGGUCUGGAGAAUUCUACUGAGAGAUUAUCGCAUUCUACUGAAAUUCCUGAAAUUGAUUAUAGCAUUCUACUGAAAUUCCUGCUUCUCAUCUGUUUCUCCAUUUCUUCUCUUCAUUUAAUGUUUAUCUGGUAUCAGUAGCAUGUGCUGGUCAUGGCAAAAAAGUAUGGAAGGAUUGCUGGUUUGCGUGAAUGGAGCUCCUUUAAAUGGGAGGUUCGUUUGUGAAGGGGAGCAAAUGGGUGUGAAAAGGACAAGAAAUGAGGAAAGAAUUCAUAUUGUCUGGACCACAUCACCUUCCUUUCUUCUUCUUUUUUUUGUUUUCAUUCCUUUUUUAUUGUCUCUUUCUACUUUUUCAUAAUGAAAUUCAGAUCUAAAUUACAGAGGAAAUCAGCAUGCUAGAUUCAGCAGCGUUUGGGGUCAGAAUGCCAUUGUUGGGAAGAAGACAACAAAUUAUGUGUAGCUUAGCAGCCAUUGUUGCUGCUUCAGGAACACCAAACUCCCUUGUCAAAAAACUGGAUCCAUAUGCAUUUUGCAAUUAAGUCAUUAUGCUUUAAACUCAUUCUAUGUGUCUUUCCUUACAAAAAAAAAAAAAAAAAAUGGUUAUUUGCUGUCUUCAAACCCGAGAGUUUCGUUGCGUUCUGUUUCAAUUCAGUCAGUCUUUAUUAGUCAAUGCUUCGUAGAACAGAGGCACCUCAUUGCAGAGUGCGGGUACAAAACUAGUGUUGAGGUGAGGUCAUAUGUCCUACCAAAAUGGAUUUUGAUCAUAAUAAUUAGAAGAAGAAAAAAAAACAACAUUAAUAAUUGAUCAUCGUGGCUACAAAAUGAAGUGGAACUAAUAAUUAAUGGAGUGUAUAUAAUAAUCAUAAUCAUAAUAAUACUAAAUAAAAUGAAUUACUAUGUGUAUUCUAUAAUUUAGUUAUAUAAUAUAGCAGAUCUGUACAAAUUAGUAAUUUCAACUUACCAAUAAAAAAAUUAUAGUAGAUUUUUACCGUGGUAUGAUUGCAAUAAAUAAAAUAAAAUAAAUUUACUUCACAGCAUUAAUAAUUUUUUAGUUUUUGUCAAACAAUAUCAACACACAUGUAUAUUAUGCAUUCACUCAUUUUUUUAAAAAUAAUUAUAAUAAAAUUAAUUAGUUAUUUAUUAUAAAAACUAGACCUAUAAGUUAUGUCUAAGCUGUUAAAAAUAAUAAAAAUAAAAUAAUUUAAAGAUAUAAUAUAUUUUAAAUAAAAUUAUUAGUCAAUCUAUAUCGAGUUGUUUUAUCUACUAAAUUAAAAAAUUUAAGUUUUUAUAUCACUUAGAAUACUUAUGUUGAAUUUAAUCCAUAAAAUCGAUGGGUAUCAUCUCUUACAGAUGAAUCGAUGGGUAUCAAGUUACAUGCCAUCUUGCAACUUCGAAUAACAGACCACUCGACUGGCUCCAAAAUCAAACCAUCUCCACCUCAUUCAACACGAUUUAAAAUAAUCAACACCACCUUUUUAUACAAUGUGGGAUUGAUGAGGAUAUAAAUCUACAAACUCCAUCCAAAGUCUCAAUCUUAUAGUGUUCUUAACUAGUAUAGUAACGCCUCAUUGGCAAGAACCCAAAUCACUAAUAAAAAUUACAACUUUACACCGAAUUUGAACAGAUUUCUACGAGCCGAUGUCACUAAACUCAAAUUACUCCUAAAAAUCUCAAUAUAAACCCAUUAACUACUAGACCAACACCUCAUUGGCUAGAAUCCACGUUGCUUUUCCACAACAAUCAUCAGCUUCUUCAAUUAGGAUGCUACAAGCCCUUGUCUAUAUACUAGCUUAAAUUGCGACAACCUUUGAUUCCGAGAGAAGUUUGGCCUGAUCCAACGGCAGUCAAUGCGUGCUCAAUCUGUACUAGCUUUCCGGUAGGACUGAAAGUAGUGAGAGAAAAGGAGUACUGGCGACCCAUGGUUUAAUGCUUCAACACGCAGAGAGGAAAAACUGAGAAUGCGAGCGUGUGGGAGAGAAAGAAAGGGAUAUUUACUUGGGGUCUUAACUCUGCUUUUCUUGUUGGAGAAGAAGGUGUUUUCUUACGAGGGCUUUUACAAUGGAGUAUUUUGGGCUUUUAUAACGGCAGCUUGGUUCUCUUUACAUUGAGCUCAAUGUUUUUCCCAGAAAUCUGCCCUUCAAAUCUGCAAACACAAACAAUCUUGUAAGGGUACAAGGGAAGCACUCAGAACUUGUAAGAAACUUUAAAAUGCUCAUUUAUAUCUCUCUUUGACCACUUUGCAAAAACUAAGAUUAUGCUCACUAGUCCACCAUCACUCUGAUUAUAGAAGCAAGACUCGACAAUUUAACAACUUAAAAUCACUAAGAGGAAAGAAAAGGAACCUUCAAGCACCUGCAAGUACAUUUGAUUGACACUGGGUUGAGAAACUUUCAUUCAUUUUCACUUAAACAGUAUCUCACAUAAUUUAAUCUCCUGAACUACUAACUAAAGUGUUGAGAGCCAAUUUUGACAUAGGUAAUAAGUUGCACAAGUUAGUAAGAAGUGGCUCAUUGAGCAACCAAAUUGCCAAGAUGUCUUAUUUCAAACCCAAGAACAGAGGAAUGCCUUAUUUUUAUUUUUCUAAGGAACUACAUAUUUGCCCCCCUCUUUUUUUCAGUUGAAACAGAAACAGGGUACAUGUACAACGUGUUAAAGUCAAGUCCAUAACCAGACCAAUUAAGAACAUUGACCUACAAGGAGUUCCACUGAAGUUCAGAUUAUAAGCAGGCAUGCUUCUAUCUCAAUUUACCACCCCGGGUCAAAUUUCACACUUAUCAGGACACUAUAACAACAGCAGAAACUUUACAAUUUCCCACCAAACAUAAAGAGAGCUUUGAAUCUACACACCCGCCUGCUACAAUCAUUCAUGACAGAUAUUUUAGCAAAAUUAAGGCCAGAGAAACACAAGCUAAAAAAAUGGAACUUCCUAAUUACUGAGAAGCAGGCAGAAACAAACCUGUAGACAACUCCAAUAUUGGGUGUCAGAUUCUGUAUUUUCUGAACCUGAAACAGGAAGCAAUUAAAUACCAUCAACAACCAACUCAAGUUACAUCCCAUCUUGCAAAUUAGAAUAAUAGACCAAUCAACUGGCUCCAAAAUCAAACCAUCUCCACCUCAUUCAACACGAUUUAAAAUAACCAACACUACCUUUUUAUACAAAGUGGGAUUGAUGAGGAUAUAAAUCUACACACUCCAACAUUCAAAGUCCCAAUCUUAGAGUCAUUGACUAGUAUAGUAACGCCUCAUUGGCAAGAACCCAAAUCACUAAGCUCAAAUUACUAAUAAAAAUUACAAAUUUACACCGAAUUUGAACAGAUUUCUACCAACCGAUGUCACUAAAGAAAACGCAAAAAAAAAAAACGCAAAAAAACAAAAGGGCUUCUUGAAUUUAAACCAAAGAAUAUAACAAAACCAAUAAAAAAAUAAUAAAUGUUUACUUACAGAAGAUUCAUCGACUAAAAUAGAUGGCAAUUUCUUCUCAGUUGCAACAACAACACCGCUUGCCGCUACAACACCAAAAAAAUAAUAAAAUCAAACAACAUGGUAUCUAAGCACCCAUCAACAACAGUAGUGCAUUCGAAAAUGACAAGAAAAUGAGAAAACAAGAGAGAGAGGAGCUUAAAUUGCAACAACCUUUGAUUCCGAGAGAAGUUUGGCCUGAUCCAACGGCAGUCAAUGCGUGCUCAAAUCUGUACUAGCUUUCCGGUAGGACUGAAAGUAGUGAGAGAAAAGGAGUACUGGCUAUCACCCAUGGUUUAUUGCUUAAGACGCAGAGAGGAAAAACUGAGAAUGCGAGUGUGUGGGAGAGAAAGACAGGGAUAUUUACUUGGGGUUUUAACUUUGCUUUUCUCGUUGGAGAAGAAGGUGUUUUCUUACGAGGGCUUUUACAAUGGAGUAUUAUGGGCUUUUAUGACGGCAGGUUGAUCCUCUGUACAUUGAGCUCAAUGAAGGCUCGGGACCAGUUUUGUUUUCAAGUAUUAUUAACAAAUAUUUAUUUAUUUAUUAAUAUACAUAAUUUUUAAUUUAUUUAAUAACAUUUAUAUAUAUAAUUUUUAAUUUAUUAUAUUUUUUGAACUAGAAAAAAUAAUUUUCCAGAUCGUGAUGUAUAUUUCUCACAUUGUUUAAAGAAGCUAAUUUAACAUUUUUGUUUAGUAAACUAAAUAUUCAACAACUUGGGCGACAAAUAUCUGGUUGCAGCGUGCAGAGAGUAAAAACAAAAUAACUCCCACAAAACCGUUGACCCAUUUUAGACAUGAAGCCAUAGUGUUGUUCGGGGCCCAGCACCGUAAGAGGAAGGCUCCCUCUAAAUUAUAAUUUGGCCCCCUUAAUUUUUUUUCCUUGCUCCGCCCCUGCAUGGAGGGUGGUGAGUUUUGGAUCUAUAAUUAUGCUCUCCAGCGUUUUAUUCAUUGGCUUGGACAGCCUGGCUAACAAUAAUAGCAUAACCACUGCAACAGUGGUUUACAAAUGAUACAUACCUCUUCAGCUUGCUUCCCUCAUUUAUUUGGAUUGAAUCCACUGAAACUGAGGUUUAAGAAUUUCUUGGAUUUAAUCCACUGAAACAGUUGCUUGAUCAAGAUCAUUGGCUUGUUUGAAGGCAGAUAAAGGCUUAAAAAAAAAAAAAAAGCGAAAGCAAGAAAAGGAGGAUGUGAGAAAUAAUUAUAGAUAUGAGUUCCAGUAGUUGAAACAUAUGAAUUACAUAUCAUUUUAUGUUGAGAGAGAAAGAGAGAGAGAGAGAGAGAGGAUGAGAGAGAGGUAUAUCACAGCUGCAUUUGAUAGACUAAAUGGUAAGUAGGAAAUAAAAUCGAAUUACAGUAAAAAGGUCACAUUGAAUGAAAUCCUCCAUGUAAGUAAAAAAGGUCCACAGAGUAAAUGGUAAGAAUUAACACCAAAGCAAAUAACUAACACUCAGAACCAAAUCUUUUACCGUUAAGAAUUAACACUGGUAGAAGAAUUUACCUCUUCCUGCUGGUUCUAAAGACUAAAGAAUUUACCUAUAUAGCAUCAAAAUUAAUCUUUGGGAUGUGAGAAAUCUUUUGCCAAUCUUCACCCAUCUCCUCUUUCCCGUAAUGUUUCCUUAGAUUGGGGCAUCUACAUAUAUUUAAUUCCUGUAGAGGCGCUGCCAAAACAUAGUCUGGUAGUGCUCUCAACAACGGGCACUGGUUAAUUCCCAAAUAUUGAAGUUGUGGCAUAAUGGAUAUUAUUGAAGUUGUGUUGGCAUCUUCUUCUCCCACUCUCCUUCCAAUUCCUUCCCACUCUUCUACUUCUUUGAGGAAAAAAAUGCCAAGUUUUUUUAAUUUGGGGAAAGCAGUGACCCUUGCAAUUUCUCCUUCAUUAAUACUGGCAUUCUCAUCUUUUUCUAUACCUAAAAAUCCAGCAUCCAACCUUCUCACCUUCAACGAGCUCAAUACCAGGAUUUCAAGGUUGGGCAAUCUCCCCAACGGAGGCAAGACCUCCGCGUUUUCGCCAAAAUCAAGUCUAAGCUCCUGUAAUCUGGUUAAUGUCAUCAUCCAAUUUGGCAAAUCCAACCCUCCGUACCUAGAUAUGGUUAGAUUUUCCAAGCCUGACGGAGGCCGUAAAGCUUCAAUUAAAGAGCCUUCAUUCAUUUGCAACUCUGUUUUCUCUCUGUCGAAAUCCAAUUCCAAACGAAGCAGGCUCUUCUUAUUCUUGAGUUGUGCUUCUGCAGCGUCACUCGCAUCUUCUUUACCUCCUCCUAGAUUCCGUAUACGAAGACUCCCUCCAAUGUGAUUCAAGUCUUUUAAUUCUCUUAGAUUAGCUGCUUUACUUUCAUUCUCACCACCACCACACACAGUAAACACAUCUAAUGUUCGAAGACAUGUUAUCCUCUCUAUUCCCUUUGGUAUGAAGGCCACACCUGAACGAUAAAUCCGGAGAUGCCUCAAUUUGAUAAGUUUUCCAAUCGCCUUGGGCAAUUCCUUGAGAGACCGACACCAAGUAACAUCUAGGGAUUGCAGAUUGCAUAAAUCACACGUGGUUUCUGGCAGGGACUCCAACUUUCCACACCAUGCCAAAUUGAGGUGUCUCAAAUGUAUCAAUUUCCCUACCUCGUUUGGUAUUUCUUUGAUAGAAGACUCUGACAAAUUCAAUGACCUGAUGCAUGUCAACUGCUUGAAUAAAUCAGGUAGUGCAGCUCCAAGCGAAGGGUCUCUAGUGUGGAUCAAGAGGCUGCGAAGACCUUUUGCUUUGUGAAUGGACACGGGAAAAGAGGUCUCGUUGGCCAACAUCAUGCUUAAAUGACGAACCCUUUCAAUUGAAGUCUCCACUGUUGCUUCUCCAAGGUAUUGACAUCCACUGUUAGACAUUCAUUUUUUGUCAUAUAUUGGGCAAAAUCAUGCACUAUAUCAUGCAUCUUGAAUCUGAUAAUUUCUAGACCAUACUUCUUACAAUCUUGGAAGAAAGAGCGUGCUACCAAGACUUGAAAGCACUCCUCUCCAACAAGCUCCAUAUCUCCACCUGAAGUCUCCUUGAGGUAACCUUGAGCCAUCCACAUCUUCACCAAUUCAUAUUUUCUCAUCUCGUAGUCUUUUGGAAACAUGGCACAAUACAAGAAACAUCGUCUUACCACAGAAGGUAAAUCGUAGUAACUCAAAAGCAAAGGUGGAAAUAGUCCUCUUUCAACAUGUUCUAGCUCCCACAGUUCGCUAGAUAAAACAUGUUCCCACUCUUCUCUUGUUCUUUUAGACUGCAUUAGACCUCCUAAUACCUUGGCAGCUAGAGGCAAGCCCUUGCAAUUGCUUGCAAUUUUGCCGCCUAUUUCUGUCAAUCUUUCGCGCUCAUCUUUGCUUCUUUUAUGGAAUGCCAACUGAUUGAAUAUUGACAUGCAUACCUCAUCAGACAAUUUCUCAAGGUUGAUCACGUGGUCGGUUCCCAUCAUGGUUGCCACGGAAUGUUUACGAGAGGUCACUAGAAUUCUGCUUCCUGGUGCACCGCCUUUGAGAGAGAGUUUCAGUGGUUCCCAUUGUCCAUGACUUUCUGUCCAGACAUCAUCAAGGACAAGAAGGAACCUCUUUCCCUUAAUGGAUUCAGAAACCCUUUGCAAAAGGGAUUGCAACUCAACCAAAUCCGGUGCACCCGCUUUAAGCUGCUCAAGGAUAGCUUUGGCUAUCCUAACCUCAUCAAAUGGAUCUGAAACACACACCCAUAUCUUUUUCUCAAAAUGAGCCGUAACCUCAGCAUCAUUAAAAGCUAGUUGGGCGAGAGUUGUCUUUCCAAUCCCACCCAACCCUACUAGAGAGAUGACAUCCACGUCCCCUGCUUCCUGACUACUUUCACCCACCAACUUGCUUACAACAGUUUUCUUUUCAAAAUCUCGACCAAUCACGCUUGAUUCAUCAACAAAGGAGGUACUUGUUAGUCGUUGUAGUUCAUCGGUGGCUCUAUACGGAUCAAAGCCAUACGUAGCUCUCUCUUUGGCAAUGUCAUCCACUUUUUCGCAUACUUCUUUGAUCUUAAGGGCAAUGGCGCGACGUCGAACCACUUGAUUGAGACAAGAGCAAGGAGAUUUCAGGAAGGAACAUCGCAUCUUCUGUCGGCUGCGAGUAUUUUCUUCAGCUUCCUCCAUUUUCCGUCUAAGAAUUGCAGUGCUCCAUUCAUCUAGCACGUCAUCCAUAUUAUAACAUACAUCUUUGAGCUUGUCUAGCCAACCCUUUACAGCCUUAUCCUUCACUUGUUUUCUAUCUGCAUCUUCAAGGACAGAUUGGAUAGCAACGAGAUUGCUUUUCAGCUUGUCAACUUGUUUCUUCACACCCACUACUAGGUUCACCUCUUC